This 58156-nucleotide long non-coding RNA is filed under the name Coffea arabica (coffee). Its description in RNAcentral is "long non-coding RNA (CARA_LNC005338)". The stretch from base 47793 to 47899 matches the Rfam family "Plant small nucleolar RNA R71". The record is from RNAcentral. Lineage: Eukaryota; Viridiplantae; Streptophyta; Magnoliopsida; Gentianales; Rubiaceae.
UGUCUUGACUGCUUCAAAGUUAUCAAUAUCAUCAGACACUUCAGCUCUGGAGAAGAGUAAGCAAACAGUAGCUGACUUUAUGGAUCGUCUCGUUCAGAAUACUGCGGAGCUACUACAACCUUGUACCAGUACUCCAGUCCCGAUUAUGAAUCAAAUGCUCAAAAUUGUUCAGGGGCUAAGAUUCCUGACAAUCCUUCUUGGUGAUCAGGAGAAGUUCAAAGAGCUAUGGCAUGAAAUGAAGAAUAUUAUUGGAGUUGUGGCCUGUGAUGCAGCGGUUGUAAUUUUCUCUCUUUCUGUGAAUCAAAUCGAAGAAGGCUUGGCCAAGGAAACCGAUCUUGCUCUUUUUCAUUUGCUCAAAGUGCUCAAGCUUAUCAGGGCAGAAUUUACACAGGUCUAUCCACUAACAUCAGUAUCGGGAUUUGGUUUUCCUAGGACCAAUGAAUUGGGCUCUAUUGAUUUUUUCCUAACAAAUCUGAAGGAACUGGCAAGGCAUGAUGAAAUUAAUGAUUCAAUCGCUUCCCCAGUGGAUAAAAUCCAGACAAUCCAGAAAGAUUUUGAAUUUUUAAGAUCUUUCUUGGAGAAAAUCAAGGAGCAGCGCAAUCAGAACGAAAAACUUCAAGUUUUCUGGAGUCAUGUUAUGGAGAUUGCAUAUAAAGCAGAGUUUGUGAUUGACUCGACACUUGUUGGUGAUAGACGUGAAUAUUGUUUGGAUGAUGUUGCCAGAGACAUCAAUGUUCUGAAGAUUGAGGCUCAAGAGAUCUAUGAUAGCAUAAGCUAUGUUGGUGAAACCACCAAGGGAGUUACCAAGACUUUCACUCGCGUGCCGUCACAAGUUACUGUCGCCACGUACAAUGAAGAUCUGGUGCCUCUCGACGACGAGGUGAAAACUAUCACUGAUAGUCUUACAAGAGGAGGAUCAAGGCAGUUGGAUGUUGUUUCCAUCGUGGGUAUGCCUGGGAUUGGUAAGACCACAUUAGCCAAUAUAGUUUACAAUUCUCCAUCAGUAAUGUUGCAUUUCAAUCUUCGUGCUUGGUGCACUGUUUCUCAAGCAUAUAGUAUGCACAACAUGUUAGUUCAGCUAUUGGGUAGUAUUGAUUCUGAGAAACUUGAACAAUAUGAAAAGAUGGAUGAAAAUGAUUUGGCUGUAAAGCUAAAACAGGUUUUGUUGAGAAAUAAGUAUCUCUUGGUUUUGGAUGAUUUGUGGGACACUAAGGCUUGGUAUUUGUUGGAGAGAUCAUUGCCCAAUGAUGCCAAUGGAAGCAGGAUUCUCAUCACGAGCAGAUUGCAGAAUUUGUCUCUGCAAUUCGAACCUAAUAGCAGGGUUCACCAUCUCCGCCGGCUUACCGACGAAGAGAGUUGGAAUUUGCUGCAAAAAAAGCUAUUUGGCAAAGAAGAUUGUCCUCCAAGACUAAGUGGAGUUGCAUCUCAAAUAGCAAAAUCUUGUAGGGGCUUACCUCUCACAAUUGUCCUUGUUGCUGGAAUUCUUGCUAGUACUGCAGAGGACUGCUGGGAAGAAGUUGCAAAGAGUCUAACUUCCAGUAUUGUCCUUGAUGAAGAAUACUGCAUGAAGACGCUUGAGCUGAGUUACAAUCAUUUACCGGAUGAUUUGAAGCCAUGUCUUCUUUACUUUGGUGCAUUUCAAGAAGAUAAAAAUGUUCCUGUCCGAAGGUUGUUAUGGCUCUGGAUCUCUGAAGGCUUCAUGCGAAAGACUGAAGAAAAGAGCUUAAAGGAUGUGGCAGAUGACUAUUUGAAGGAUCUGGUUGAUAGAAGUUUAGUCAUGGUUUCCGAACAAAGAACUAUGGGUGGUGCCAAAGCCUGUCGACUUCACGAUUUGGUACAUGAGUUUUGUGUGAAAAAAGCCAAAGAAGAAAACUUUCUACAUGUUUUGCAUAGUCAGAAUAGUCCUUUUGUUCUUACUAGCCCAAGCAACCUCCACCGAGUUUGUAAUCCAAUGAAUGGGGAGUUAAUGCUAGAAUUUCCCAAUGUACGCAGUUUGUUAUUGUUUAAGGGGGAUGAUUUGGGGUUUUGGUUACCUGAACUUCUAAGAGUGUUGGAUUUGGGGGAAUUGGAGUUUGUUGCACAUUUUCCAAUGGAAGUAUUUUCGCUUGCUCACUUGAGAUACUUGGCUCUUCGUACUAGAAAAGUAAAUUUCAUCCCAGCUGCAAUAGCUAACCUCUCAAGGUUACAAACUUUUCUGCUACGAGGAAACAAAGCUGAUUGUUUGUUACCCAAUACUAUCUGGAACAUUAAGACAUUGAGGCAUCUAUGGACUCCAGAUUCCACUUUGGGUUUUAUUUUUCCUGUUGAAAAUCUUGCAGUAUCCCCAGGUUUAGAUCAUUUAGACAGUUUAAGCCUUGCCAUUGAUCCCUCCUCUCAAAGCUUGCAAAAGAUACUGGCAAAGUUACCAAGCAUCCGCAGGCUAAGAUGUAAGGUGACGGAAUCAAGAGAAGAACCUGCGGGAAGUGGCGAUGGGAUUCUCUUGUUUGACUGUUUGAGUCAACUAGAAUCACUUACUCUGUGUUUCUGUCAUGGAUAUAGAUUUAAAUUCCCAUUGAAUUUGAAGAAGUUGACACUCCUAGCGACUGAUCCGCCAUGGAGUGAAAUCUCAACAAUUGGAAAGUUGCCCAAACUUGAAGUGCUUAAAUUACUCUCUUAUUAUUACAGCUCCCCUGGGGAAGAAUGGGAAAUGAAAGAAGAGGAGUUCCCUAAGCUCCGAGUCUUGAAAUUGUCACACUUGUGGAACUUUCGCAGCUGGACUGCAUCUUCUGAUAAUUUUCCCCGUCUUGAGAAAUUGGUUGUGCACGAUUGUGAGAAUUUGGAAGAGGUGCCUUCUUGUUUAGGGGAAUGUCUGACUCUUGAAAUGAUUGAGGUGAAACGAUGUCGCCAGUCUGUUGUAAGUUCAGUGAAGCAAAUUCAACAAGAACAGAGAGAUAUGGGAAAUGAGGUUCUAAAGAUCUUAAUUGAAGGUUGUGUUGAUGCGCCGAGUUCCAGCAAAGAAGAAGAAGAAUAGUCAAGUUCCUCAGAAACAGAGUCAAUCUCCUCACAAGGAGUCUAAUUCAAGUUUCUUGAAAGUAAUUUCUGGAGCUUCCUUUUUUUUUUUCCUUUUUGUUUGAGUUGAUGCAGCCAAUCUCAAUUCCUUUUCUUUUUUUUUUAAUUCUGCUACAGAUUGAUAUGAUGCUUAUAGUCAGCUAAGCACAAGUCUAUAUGCAAGAUACACUUUUCCUUCUUUGUAUUUCGGACAGAGUAGUACAGAAACUUUGUAAUUGCUUCUCUUUUUCCUCAACAAAGAACCAUACACUCGAUUAAUUAAUAUGUUAAAACAUCCUCUUUUUUUUUUGCAACAAAUAUUAAGAAGAGACAAGAAAAAAAAAACUUGGUUAUGUUACUUUUUACCUUUGGAAGUAUUGUAUAUUAAAGAAGUUACAUAUUAAAUGGGAAGGAGGGCUUAAAUUUAGAGGUGGCAAUAUGGAUAAAUGGUUCAUAAUUGGUUUUGACUUAAUGGAUGGUGGAUGAAAUUUAUCCAAUCCAUUUAGCAUCUUGGAAUCCAUAUGCAUGAACUUUACUUGUGAUGAGGCUUCCACAUCUGAUAUUAACUUUGGCAGCCUGAUCUUCUUGUGAAUUUCCAUUGCUGGAGGGCGUUUCCGGAGAAUUAAGCAAAUACGGAAAUAGGGAGAAUCAAAUAAAACCAUGUAAUGGGGAUGAAAACUACAACUUAAUGCUUGAAUCUAAUCCCUACUGACUGUUUUUAGGUGUAGUUCUACAGAUUGAUAAAACCAUAUAAUGCAAUCAAAACUUUUGGAUUAAAGAAAAAAUAAAGAUAGAAAAGAUGAAAAAUGGUAUUGAUUAAUUUUUUUUAUUUGUCGAUGUGUCUUGAUUGCUAAACUGAAAGCAUUAUAUGGAAAGAAAUUGGAAACGAAUGGAAUUUUAAGGGAGAAAGGAUCACUUGGUUAGUAAGAUAUAUUAAGGAUAGUAUUUAAUACAAAUUCAAUAACUUAAAAAGAGUUAACCACUUGGUUGGUCUAGUAGUUAGGGGAGAACUUUUAAAAUCUCUUCAAAAAAAUAAAAAGAAUUCGAAAUAGUUGUGGUUGUAAUGACAGAAAACAAAUUAAUUUACUGGAGAGCGGGAUUGGUUGGACGGUACAGGGGAAGCAACGUAAGUGAUAGGUCUCGGGUCUCGGGUUCGAGACCUCUCACUUACCAAAAAAAAAAAUGAUGAUAUAUUCAAUUAAAACUAUCUUAACAACUUCUAAUUGAUUGGUUAGCAUGAUAUUCUUAAAAAACCAACCUUGAAUUACGACUAUAAUUUAAGGUUAAUAUAGUAAAUUCACAAUAAAGGUUAAAAAAGUCAUUUUACACAAACUCCUACACUACACUACUGUUAUACAAGGUGCAAAUGAAAACUAAAGAAACAGGCAAUGAGGCAAACGUUAGAAGUUAGAACGUGACAACUCGAGGGACCAAAUUAGCAAUUGUACUUUAACCCCUAAGAAAUUAACCCAGAGCGAGAAUGUGACAUAGUAAAACCAUAUUUUUACUGUUAACUUUACCAUUUACCUUUUUGUUCAUAUGUUUACAUAAACCCUAAACCUUAAACCUCUCUUCUCAAACUCCAUUGCCUAAUUUCGGGUAAGUUGCCUUUCUAUAUCUUGAUUUACUUACCUUUUAUGCAGAUUUGUGGCUCACCUUCGUCAAUUUUUUUUCUUUUGUCUUUUUGGGGUAUUUUUUUAGGCAAAAAUUUAAAAUCUUAUUGUGGGUAUAAUAGAAUUGGAGGGAGAAAAGUUGAAUUUUUUUGCUAAAAUUGAUGACAAAAGUUGGUUUGUCUAGGAUUUGCCUUUAGCUGAACAAAACAUUAGCUUUGCUUAUGGUGGGAAAUCUAUCGAUUUUGUUGGCUCUUUUCUUGGGAUGUGCUUUUUUCGAUUUUAGGGUUCUUAAGUCUUGGGAAAAAUAAAGAUGCAAGUUCAUUUAUUUUCUCGUUAGUUUUAUUGUAUUUCGUGAGGCUUUAAAUUUUUGUAUUGACCCACUAUUUAUCUUUGAAAAAGAAAACAUAUUUUAAUUAUGUGUAACUUUUAAUAUUCAAUCAAACAGUACAUGAAUUAUAUUUUUAUGAUUUGUAUGAAUCAUAUUAUUUAUGGGUACUCAUCGACGACGAUGAUGAGUUUUUAUGUAUUAAUCCUAAAGUAGUAAUUCUAUUGUUAUUGCAAGAAUUGGAUAAAAUAUUGUACUUAGUGUUAUUAUUUUUUUAAGUUCAUAACUUUGCCAAUUACCUUUAAUAGAUUGCAUGCUCUAUUAUUUAACUUUAUCGUUAAUAAUUCUUUUAAAAACAAUUAAUGCACAAAAUUUGCUCCCCAACCCAAGUCCAAACAAACUCCGCUACGGAUAAGAAUCGUACAAAUGUUAUAUCUUUAAUGGGUCGAGUUUGGGCCAUAAAAUAAGAUUCUUCCCUUGUAUUGGCUGUAGGCCCGUCAAAGCCCAACUAGGACCAAAUUAAUGGUAAAUGAGCCGGGCUAGGCCACAAUAAACGGCACCUGACGGACUUAGGAUUACAUGUGGUAAGGUGAAAUUAUAAAUGGUAGUUGAGUAAAGAUAUCAUGAAACGAUUUACAACCUUAAUUUUUUUUAUUUUUAAUUUUUACGGAACAAGAAAAGAAAGGUCAUUUUCAAUCGAGAAUAAGUGAAGUAUCACUGUUGAUACUCUUAAAAAAAAGAAAAAAAAGAGUCAUCUUCAAUCAAAGCAAUAAUAAUUACUUCUAUCUUGUGCACAAUAUUAUGAAAUUGAUUAUCAAAGAAAAGGGAAGGGAUAAGGAAAAAUAGAGGUGCUGCAACAGAAAUUUGGCAUGUUAUUUCUUGUAUUCUCAUAUUUUUUUAGUCAAGUAUAUAAGUACAUUAUUGAAUGGGAAAAAAAAGUUGACAUAACAGAAAUUUGGUAGGUUGUUUCUUGUUAUUCUCAUAUUGUUUUAGUCAAGUAUAUAAGUACAUUAUUAGAAGAAAGGACAAAUUGGGCAAGAUGUUCGGAAAACUUUAGAGUUUUUUUUUUUUUUAAAUUGUUGGCAAUCCCGUUACAGGGUUGGGAUGCAAAUCCAUUAUUUUAUUAAUAGCAAAAUAAUUUUACAAAGCUCGAGGGGUGCCAAAUCUGACCUCAGAAUAACAAAUAAAAUAAUAAAUAAGAAGUACUACUCUCUUACAAUUUGUGAGCAUACAUGUGGAUCUACCCUUCAGUCUAAAUGUAGGGAUGACCUAAUAAUAGAAGCAAGUUGUUGUAUAAAAUUGAAUUGAACAUCUGAUUGAAGGAAGCUGUUAUAAAUGAUAAACUUUAGAGGCUUGAAGUUGGAUUACUAAUUCAAGUAUUUAAGUACGUUAUUGAAAGAAGGUACAUUGCGAACGUAAUUCAAAUGCUACUAUGGCAUUGCUAUUCAAAUAGUCCCAAAAAAAAAAAAGAUAAUUGCUUAGAUGUUGGUAUUAACAAAAUUAUUUUUAGAUAUUUAGAAUCCAGAUUUACCCAAAGUUGAUGAAUACAUAAUGGUAAGUCACUCGAUGCAAACAGAUUAAAGUUACUUCCAUGAUGCUUAUCAAAUUCACCAAAAUUAGUUACUGUUAUCAGCAUCACUAAUUAUUUUGUAGUAUUAGCAAGUCCAAUUCAAACUUUGCGGGACACCCCUAAAAAAAAAAUCCAAUUCAAACCUUAGAGAAUGAUUAAUUAAUGAAAAUCCUAAUUUAAACCAAAAGAUGGGGGUUGUAUUGAAAAUCUAAAAUUAUAACAAAGAACAAAAAUUGAAGAUUAAAAAACUACAACUACCAAAAAUUCCGAUUCAAGAUGAAAUCUGUUCUUCAAUUCGUCAACUAGUCAUAGACACCAAAAUCACUAUUUUGCAUCAACAAAUUGGCCAAAAAUUACUUACGGAUGAAGUAAAUCAUAAUCUUCCUUGUGUUCAUUAAUUGAAACCCAACGCCUGAAUUAAAUUCUUGUUAUCAAUCCUAAUCAAAUUGAUAGUAUCACUAAGUCAGGAAGAAGCUGAAGUUGAAUGACAAUUUGACCAGUUAAAUCAUUUGAUUCAUGCUAGUAUAUUAAAACAAACAAAACUGAAAAGAGCUUAAAAAGCAGGGAUGCAUGCAGGAUUCUAGUUUAAGGGGGACGCACAGUCAAGUAGGGAACCCAAAAAAAAUCAUGAAAAAUGAAAGUUCAAUAGACGAUGAUUAACAAAAAAAAAAUUUAAUUAAAAGAAAUGUGUAUAAAGCACUAUACUUCUCUCAAUAUAUGUGAUCAAUGAUGGGCAAGAAAUUCAUCAUUGAUCUUAAUGUUUAAUUAGUUAUAAUUAACUUAUAACUGGAGAAAGUGUAAGGGAGAAAAAAUUGGACUGGCCUUUAAAAACGGUGGAUAUUUGAAAUGAGUUGAAAAAGUUAAAAUUCUUGCCAUGAUUGAAUUUUCAUUUAUUUGUCAUUUUUUGUUUCUAUUUGUAUAAUUUUUUCUAACAUUAACUAAUAAAAAGAAACUAAGAGUUUGUUUGUUUUAGAAAACUUACAUAAAAAGGUAAUGUUUCUUAAGGUAAAUAUUUGAUAGGUAUCGUGUAUUAACAAUAAAGUCUUGAUAAGGGUAUAGUAUAUGGAAACUAGAUUUGGUUUAUUACAGGACACUUUAAACAUACAUAAUGAAACUAGAGUUAAUCUUUUGUCGGACACUUUUAAAAAAGAAAUCAAAGGAAAUAACCUGACAAGUCAUCAUGUCGACACCAAUAACAACCCCAAAUUUGUGUUUACAGCAAUGAAAUUCCUGAGCAAGAAGGAAAUUCCGUGGUGUCUGCUGAUCUUGUCUCUAGCCUUUUUUUUCCUAUUUCACUUACACUCUAUUCACACACCAAUGUAUCUUGGCUUUUUGACUCCUUUUUUCCCCUAGGUUUGAAAAUGGGAGAUUAAAAAGUACUUCUUGUUUCUUUAUUUCGUUAUUGCAUUUACGAUUGGUGACUUAUUUUAGUAUUACGUUUGAAUUGGUGACUUAUGGCGUUUGCCUCAUUUUAAAAAAGGCACAUUGAAAUUGGUUUCAGGUACACGGUACUAUAGUGGAAAUAGGAAUGUGUGAAUAUCCAACCUCUGCAUUGUAUUUUUGCUAUAAAAAAGAAUCAUUUUUCCUUCAUUGAUUAGCUAUAUGCACUUUAAUAAAUAGUAAUGUGCAAUUCAAUGAAAAUUAAUGUGUACUUCGAGGAACACAAGGAUGAAAUGAAAAAUUGUUAAAAGGUAUUGAUGUGAGGAAAAUGAGACCUCACAGCAUUCAAAAUUUUAAUGCAACACACAUCUAAUUGGCUUACUCGACUUUACUUUGGAGCCAAAUAAACAUUUCUUCGCAUGCAUGCAUGUGUGUAUGCAUGGGUACAUUUUGUACAAGUACUCUUCAUACAGUUUUUUAUUAAUUUGUAUUAGUUAUUAAAAAAAUUUUCAUAAAUGGUGUCAUAGAGAAGAUAGUAUGUGACAAAUUGAAUUUGUCCAAACUUAUUUAUUAAAAGAGAAUUAUAUUUCCUUCAUUUAUUAGUAAUCAAGGGUGAAAUAAAGAAAUUACUAAAAGGUUUUCAUGUAAAGACAAUGAGAUAUUGCGAUAUUACAAUUUUUUUAAUAGCACAACUAAUUGACAAACACGACUUCAAUUUGAGGCCAAAAACAAUUUUCCUAUACAAAUGUGGUACUUUACGUACAAGUUAGGGUACUUUUUAUCAAAGCAUAAAUACUUUUUUAUAGUUGUUAAUUAAUUUAUAUUGGUGAUUAAAUAAUUUGAGGCCAACUAAUAGAGAAAUAGAGAAAUCACUAAAAGCUUUUUAUGUAAGGAUGAUGAAACUUCACAUCGUUGCAAUUUUUUCUUGUAGCACAACCAAUUGAAUAACUCAACUUCAAUUUGAGGCCAAAUAAACACUUUUCCUAUACAAAGUGAGGUAUUUUACGUACAAGUUAGGGUCCUUUUUUAUAUAAGUACUUUUCUCUCUAUUGUUAAUUUUUAACUAAUGAUCAAAUAAAAUUCAAGUUCAUGGCUGAUUAUUAGCUCCUAACUAUAUAUUUUUCAAAUAAUAAAUUUGCAAGAAACAAAGCUCAUAAUGAUUAAGCUCAUGUAAGUUUGUUGGCAUGAAAAAUCACGCACAACGGAAGCAAUUUUACUACAUAUGAAAUAUAUAGAAAGAGGAGGAGAAUAAAUACACAACUACAACUCAAUAAUUUAUUAACCUAAUAGUCAACAAUAACAAUACCAAAUCGAAACUUUUUGCUCAAGACAACUCACAAAUCUGAGGUUUUUUCUCAAAUCUACUCUCAAGACUCAAUUCAUCUAUUUAAAACUAUACUUUCUCAACUCUUUUCAAGAAAACAAUGCUGCAUGCUUCGCAAUUUAUAGAGGCAUCCUACCGACUCAAAUUUUCAAAGGAAAAGGAAACUUGCUAAACUAAUUACUACCAGGACUAGUAUUACUAAGGUUUAACCGACUAGGACAUGCAAAAGGAAAUCAACUAGGACUCCAACCGACUAAAAACAAAUAGAAAAAUUCCUUGAAGAUAUUUAGUCUGCUAACACCAAUCAAGAUUGGAACUUCGAAGCAAUCCUAUGCGGGUUUAACUUCGAAGUAAUUUGGUAAUAUAAUUAAGUUUGGUUUAAUUUUCUUCAAAGUUGCUAUUAUAAAUCGGAUCAUAAGUAGCAGUAAGAGGAAUGUUGUCGACAUUCCCAUGCAAGUUGAAGUAGCUUACUCUAUUUUUCAUUGAAGUACACAUUUAUGUUCAUUAGAGUGCACAUAUUGUCCAAUUUUGGCCAUAUUGAAAUAUGCUUCCCUGCCGCUCAGAAUUUGCACAUCUUCAACAAAAUUCAGCCCUUAUCAAAAAAUCAAGAAAAAAAAAUUGCUAUAACUAGAACUUGCUUAUGAAAGCAACCCACACCAAUUAAAAGAUUACAACUACUGAUAUUUGAAUGAGAACAAAUUCCUAGGUAAAAGAAACAGAAUUUCCUGUGUUUGUCUGGAAAGCAGUCUUGAGUUCUGCUAGAACUUAAGUUUCCAUUUAGGAAAGUUCAAAAAUUGGAUAAUUUUGUACAACAAUUAUUGACCUCUUUAAUUCCCUUGUAAGUACUUCUAGUGUAUCACCAAUUUUUCCAGAAAUGGACGACAGGGUUGUGAUAUCAAACUUGGGCAAUAGAUAAUUGUCAAUUUGGUGAGAGAUAAUAAGUAUUGACUGAUUUUCUCCCUUAUCUAGUUCUUGGGAAAAUCAAGGCCUUGUUUGCUUUGUAAUUUUUCAUAAAAAAUACUUUUAUUUUUUGUGAAUAUAUUUUCCAAUCAUUUUUUUAUAUUACAUAUAUCAAAUCGACACAAUAUAUAUUUUUUUUAUAAAAAUUCCAAAAAUAGCAAUGCAAAUGAACCUUAGAUUUUUAAGGAAUGUAAGAUGGAAGAGUUGAUGGUGGUGGUAGGUUAAAGGCUGGUCACUGAGGGAAAUGGAGAUGGAAUCCACAAUUAGAUAGAAGUUCAGCGAGUUUUUGCACCUGGACAUUUUGGUAAUUUAAGCCAAAUCUUAUUACAUUUAAUAUUGGUUGAAUAGUUGCACUCCAUUUUUGAAUCUCAUACCCACUUUAUGAACUUUUGAAAAGCUGAGUAUUGAUUCUUCCGGCUUCCAUAUCCGAAAUUCUUCCAAAUAUUUAAGAUGAUGGGCAACAUUUUUUUAAGGGGUGUUUUAUUUCUUCAGUUUUUAUGUUUUCAGCUGGAAAAUUCAAUGUUGGGAUAGAAUCUUAUAUUUAGUCACGUUGUUUUUUCAUAAAAUUUUUUUAUAAUAAUUAUUAGUUUACUAAGCAAGCUCUUGUUGCAAAGAUGAUUUUAGCAAUUCAGCCUUGAUGAUCUCUUGUUGCAAAGAUGAUUUUAGCUAAUUCAGCCUUGAUGAUGGCUUUUAUGCUAUCUAACUGUCAUAGUUUUUUCUGCCCUCCACUGUUAGUUUAAAAGGAUAAGCAAUUCCUUUUGACAAGAGAAUUACACUUAACAGUUUAUUUUAUUGCUAAGUUGGCAGGAUUUGUCUGGUGAGUUCAUGUUUAAUUUUUUAAGAAAUGUUACGUGAAUAAUCGUAGUCGCAAUGGGUACAUUUUAUCGGAGUUAUAUGUCUUGAUUUUUAGGUGUUCUUAAACUCCUAGUUAAGUUGGUGUUCACAAGGAUAACAAUGGUAUUCAUGAAAAAAUACUUUAAAAUAGUAGUGUAAGCAAGUUUGAAUAUGGUGUUUACAUGUUAAAUUUUAUGGACCAUUGAGGCCUUGAUAAUGAAUCCCUUGAAGACCGAUGCAAGGUAAUAUGCUAUGUGUCUUUAUUAAAAAUGAAAGUUCAAAAAUAGACAUGAAACAAUCCACAAUAGAGUUCAUGUAUUGCAGUUGGAGAAAUCUUUAAAAGUAAUGUUUUUAUAUACUGUCAAUAUAUACACGUGCAAUAUUUUUUUUAUGUGCUAUCAAUGUUCAACAUGGACAGAUGUACAAACUUUUGUUUCUGUGAGUACGAUAAUAAGUAGUGCCUCUUCAAACAAAAAAUAAUAAUAAAAGGACAAAGGCUUCAAAUUCUUUUCUAGUUUAAGUGUUCUUCGAAUUUAAAAAAUAAAAAACGCGAAACGUCCAACCAUACGUCUAUGUACAUUGGACUCGUCCUUUUGUACCUAAAUUAAUUCCAUCCUAUUGUCCUUAAAAGGAAAUUCAAAUGAAAUAGGUGGUUAGAAUUUCAUUUGGGUAAGUAGCAAAACAAAUUUUUACUUUAUAUCUACUAGUGGUAUCUUAUCAUUUUUGCAUUAUUUUAAUAAUCUUAUAGUCUUUAUUUUAAUAAACUGAUCUUCUACAUUGUCCUCUUUGUUAUUGCCUUGUGAGCUACUUGCACUCUUAUUUGGAGAAAAUAUUUUAAUACUGAACAUGUAUACAUUAACAAACGUAUAAACAAAAAUAUUCUCUUUUUCAUUUCCCACUUUUUCUCUACUUCAUUUAUCUAGUAAAUCUCAUGCUCCUAAUUUUUUAUUAAAAAAAUCUCGUUAUGUAAAGCAGACAUCAGACUAUUCUUUCCUAUGGCAUCCACCACUGUCACGAAAUCAUUUGAAGUAUGCUAAUGUUUGUACUUAACAGCCAGUCCUACAUGCACCAUGGAUCAGUUGGUUAUACGGACAGGAUGCAUUGAACACCAAAAGAAAUAUAUAGGGUUCACAUGUGAGCAGUUCUGACAAAAAAAAAAAAAAAAUUCAGGCUAUUAAUGUGAGCAGUUUUGACCAUAGGGUUCACAUUCUGAUAAAAUUAUAACUAUUUACUGCUUUGGUACUAUAGUAAUAUUUUACAAUUUUUGUAGACGUAGGUAUCUCGAAAUGCACUUUGGCCGGAAAAGAAACAAGAAGACAAGAUAAGAGUCUUGCAAGUUGUAGCCAAAAAAAAAAAAAGAAAAAAGAAAAAAGGUUUCGCUGACAAUGUUUCGCUAUCUUCAGAUAAUCAGAAAGUUGUAAACCUUGAACUUUAUUCAAGGUACAAAUUUGAUCUUAGAGUGAAUAGAAGGUACAAUAAUGGAGAUAUCCUCCAGUAGUAGCAUUAGUUGCUUUGAUUCCGCUCUAGAAUAUCUGGACUGGUUCAGUGCGACAUUCCGAUGUCUGGACUGUGAUGAUAUCACUGACCUGGUGGAGCUCGGAGUGAGAGUAUUACAAAGCUUUGAUCUGUAUCUGACAAAGUGUAGGAGGAGGAGGAGGAACCUUGAAACCUGUUUGGAACAAGAUGAGGAAGAGAAGGAUGUUACUUCUUUCAGAAUUCAAAACCUGAUUAUCGGAAGAAUGCAAGAUCUUGAAUUUGCUUGCAGCGAACACUUGAUUCAUUCUCGUUUAGAUGGUUUGACUCAGAUCCGAAGUGAGCUCACCAGAUUCCAGGUAGCAAUCAAAUUGUUUUUCGAGACAUAUAUCAAGGAAUCGUGCAUCAACUCUCUGUUGGAGUAUUACUGGCUGAGAGAUCCGGAACUAGUUAUUGAUUUCGUUGAUUCGGUCUCAAAGACUCUGGCGGAACUUCCCAUAUACUGUUUCAAACACCUUGUAAAUAAGCUAAUGUUCAUGAAGAGUUUCAUUCGCUUUGCCAUGCUUCGCGGCAUCAAGGGUCAGCAAUUGAUAGAUCUCUUGAUUCACGCUGAAGUGGUGGCUAUCAAUGCAUUACGCCUGGCCUCUAUAUGGUGCUUGGACAGUGACAGACAUAAUGGAGAUGUACAGAAGGAAAUGAGACUUCAAAUUUCUCGACUAAUACGUGAGAAGAUUAAUCCUGGUGAUCCCCCGGUCCGAGAAACUUACAUCCAUGUCUUGACUGCUGCAAAGUUAUCAAGAUCAUCAGAUAUUUCAGAUCUGGAGAAGAAUAAGCAUCUAGUAGCUGACUUUAUGGAUCGUCUCGUUCACAAUAUUAAGGAGCUGCUGAAAUCCUGUACCAAUAUUCUUGUUCCGAUUAUGAAUCAAAUGCUAAAACUCCUUGAGGGGCUAAGAUUCCUGACAAUCCUUCUCAAGCAUCAGGAGAAGUUCAAAGAGCUGUGCCAUGAAAUGAAGAAUCUUAUUGGAGUUGUGGCCUGUGAUGCAGUGGUUGUAAUUUUCUCUCUUUCUGUGAAUCAAAUCGAAGAAGGCUUGGCCAAGGAAACCGAUCUUGCUCUUUUUCAUUUGCUUAAAGUGAUUAAGUUUAUUAGGGCAGAAGUUACCGAUCCAGUAACAUCAUUUUCGCCAUUUGGUUUUCCUAGGACCAAUGAGAUGGGCUCUAUGGAUUUUCUCCUUGAAAAUCUGAAAGAACUAGAAAUUUGUAAUGAGGCUGAUGAUUCAAUUGCAUUCCCGAAAGAUCAAAUCCACACAGUCCUCGAAGAUCUCGUAUUCUUAAGAUCUUUCCUUGUCAAGAUAGCAGACCAGCGCAACUGGAAUGGAAAACUCCAAGCUCUUUGGAGUCGUGUUAUGGAGGUUGCACAUAGGGCAGAGUUUGUCAUUGACUCUAUUGUGGUUGGUGAUAAACAUGAAUAUUUGGAAAGAGUUGCCAGAGAUAUCCAGCUUUUGAGGACUGAGGCCUUUGAAACCUAUGAUAGCACGAAGCAUGACUGUGGAGCUCAGAGAACUAACCAAAAAUCUUUCCGCAUUGAGUCAAAAUGUAGCACCCCAGUGUUGAAUGAAGCUCUAGUGGGUCUUGAUGAUGAGGUAAAGACAAUUAUUCAUAGUCUUACCAGGGGUUCAAAGCUGUUGGAUUUUGUUUCAAUUGUGGGUAUGGCUGGACUUGGUAAGACAACAUUGGCCAAUAGAGUUUACAAUGAUCCAUUAAUUUUGAGCUACUUUCAUAUCCGUGCUCAGUGUAUUGUUUCUCAAGUGUAUAGCAUGCACAGUUUGUUAGUUCAGCUUUUAUGUAGUAUUUCUUCUAGAAGUCCGGAUGAAUAUCUUGAGAUUGGUGAAAAUGAUUUGGCUCACAAGCUAUACAAACUUUUAAAAGGAAAUAGGUAUCUCAUUUUUUUGGAUGAUGUGUGGGAGAUUAAGGCAUGGAAUUUGGUGAAAAGUUCAUUGCCCAAUGAUGCUAAUGGAAGUAGGAUUCUCGUCACCAGCAGAAUUCAAUUGCAAUUCAAACCUGAUAGCAAGGCUUACCAUCUCCGCCACCUUACUGACAAUGAGAGUUGGAAAUUGCUGUAGAAAAAGCUAUUUGGCAAAGAAGGUUUUCCUCCAACACUAGGUAAAGUUGGAUCUCAAAUAGCAAAAUUAUGUAGGGGCUUACCUCUCACAGUUGUUCUCGUUGCUGGAAUUCUUGCUAAUACUGUAGAAGACUGCUGGGAAGAAGUUGCAAAGAGUCUAACUUCCAGUAUUGUCCUUCAUGAUGAAUACUGUAUGAAGACGCUUGAGCUGAGUUACAAUCAUUUACCGGAUGAUUUGAAGCCAUGCCUUCUUUACUUUGGUGCAUUUCAAGAAGACGAAAAUGUUCCCGUCCGAAGGUUGUUAUGGCUCUGGAUCUCUGAAGGAUUCGUGCGAAAGACUGAGGGAAAGAGAUUAGAGGAUGCAGCAGAUGACUACUUGAGGGAUCUGGUUGAUAGAAGUUUAGUUAUGGUUUCCAAACAAAGAAGUACGGGUGGUGCCAAAGCCUGCCGACUUCAUGAUUUGGUACACGAGUUUUGUGUGAAAAAAGCCAAAGAAGAAAACCUUCUACAUAUUUUGCAUAGUCAGAGUGGACGUUUUAUUCUUACCGGCCCAAGCAACCCCCUCCGAGUUUGUGAUCAAAAUACCAAGAAUUUGAUGAUUUGGGAGUUAAUGCUAGAAUUUCCGAAUGUACGGAGUUUGUUAUUGUUUAAGGAGGAUGAUUUGGGGUUUUGGUUACUUAAACUUCUAAGAGUGUUGGAUUUGAGGAAAUUGGUGUUUCAUGUAUAUUUUCCAAUGGAAGUACUUUUGCUUGUUCACUUGAGAUACUUGGCUCUUUGUACUAGAGGAGUAAAUUUCAUCCCAGCUGCAAUAGCUAACCUCUCAAGGUUACAAACUUUUCUGCUACGAGGAAACAACGCUGAUUGUUUCUUACCCAAGACAAUCUGGAACAUUAAGACAUUGAGGCAUCUAUGGACUACAAAUUCCGCUAUUGGUUUUAUGUUUCCUGUUGAAAAUCUUGAAGUAUCCCCAGGUUUAGAUCGUUUAGUCGCUUUAAGCCUUGCCAUUGAUCCCUCCUCUCAAAGCUUGCAAAAGACACUGGCAAAGUUACCAAGCAUCCGCAGGCUAAGAUGUAACAUGAGGAAAUCAAGAGAAGAAACUACAAGAAUUGGCAACGAGAUUCUCGGGUUUGACUGUUUGAGUCAACUAGAAUCACUUACUCUGCGUCAUUUUUGCGGAUUUGGAUUUAAAUUCCCAUUGAAUUUGAAGAAGUUGACUCUCUCCUAUCAUAAGCAGCCAUGGUGUGAAAUUUCCACAAUUGGAAAGUUGCCCAAUCUUGAAGUGCUUAAAUUACUCGAUCACUCCUUCUAUGGAGAAGAAUGGGAAAUGAACGAAGGGGAGUUCCUUAACCUCCGAGUCUUGAAAUUGUCAAGGUUGCGGGACUUUCACAGCUGGACUGCAUCUUCUGAUAAUUUUUCCCGUCUUGAGAAAUUGGUUGUCGACUGGUGUCCAAACUUGGAAGAUGUGCCUUCUUGUUUAGGAGAAUGUCUGACUCUUGAAAUGAUUGACGUGAAAUGGUGUGGUGAGUCUGUUGCAAGUUCAGUGAAGCAAAUUCAACAAGAACAGAUAGAUACAGGAAAUGAAGUUCUAAAGAUCUCAAUUGAACCUUGUGGUGAUGCGCGGAGUUCCAGCGAAGAAGAAGAAGAAGAAUCAAGUCCCCUAGAAACAGAGUCAAUCCCCUCACAAGGAGUCUAAUUCAAGUUUCUUGAAAGCAAUUUCUGGAGCUUCCCCAUCUUUCUGUUUUGACAUGAUGCCGCUAGCUAUAACUUUGUGACUGCAAUGGCAAGCAUGCACAAUAAUGCAUUAGUCAAUCCAACAUUAUCUAUCACAAUCUCUUUCUAAGAUGUCUCCAUGUUCUUUUCUGGUUUGAUAAUGUUUAACGGAGUUUAUCUUUUUAAAAUCUCAAUUCGUGAAAUUUUCUUUAAUUCUGCUACAGAUUUAUAUGAUGAUUAUAGCUAGCUAAGCACAAAUUUAUAUGCAUGAUACACUUUUCUCUUCCUACUUCGUAUUUUUAACUUGCUUCUGUUUUUUUUUUUUGGCUACAAAUAUUAAGAAGAGACAAGAAAAAGGGAAAAAAAAAACUUGGUUAUUUACUUUUUACCUUUGCAAGUACUGCAUAUUAAAGAAGUUAAAUACAGAGCGGGAAGCAGUGCUUAAAUUAGUCGGUGGUCGUGCGCUGUGAAUUGGAAAGUUGCUUUAUUAGAUGGAUUGGUUCUUUCCAUUUUCUUCUUUUAUUCUUCUUGUUGUGUUAUAUUAUAUUUGUUGUGGUGCUGGAUUUCUUACUGGUUUCGCUCCUUUUUCCUUUUUUUCCCCCAAACGCUGCUGCUAUUUAAUUGCUUGCCAUAUUAUUAUUAAUUUUAUUAUUAUUAUUAUUAUUAUUAUUAUUAUCAUCAUCAUCAUCAUCAUCAUCAUCAUCAUCAUCAUCAUCAUCAUCAUCAUUGUUUAUAAUAGAACAUGCAGUUGUACCAUUAUGUUGUUUUCUCCUUUCUCCUGAAUAACAAGUUGCUACAAAAACUACGCUUGCAAAAUUCUUUAUGAAUUGUGGUACUUUUGAGAGGUAUUUUAUGUAUUAUUUUUAAUAAGAACCUUUUAUGCAUAAAUAAAUCAUGGAAUUUGUGUGUGUUAUGAGUUAACGCAGAAAUUAAGUAUCCUAAGUUUAAAUCCCAUGUUGAUUUUUUUUACCGACAAUAUUUUUUUCUCAAGGUUACUGUUUUUUAUUAUAAUAAUGAUAUUGUUAUAAUAGAAUAUGUAAUUGUGCUAUUACGUAGUUUCCUCCUUUUUCUUGAAUAAUAGUUUGCCAAAGAAAUUGCGCCUGCCAAAAUUCUAUAUUAUUACGUGGUACUUUUCUUUUGUGGAUAGAAUGCUUCCUUCCGUUUUGCAUUUUUGUGUUCUCCUUAUAUUAUACCAUAUUUGUGGUGGUGCUGCAUCUCUUAUCGAUCUUGCUCUUUUUUUCUCCUCCUUUUUCUUUUUUUUUUUUCCCAAAACUCUGCUGCUAUUAAAUUCCUUACCAUAUUAUUACAAUUUUAUUAUUAUAUUACCAUUAUUAUAUUAUGAUUAUUACUGUUAUUUACCUUUCAUAGGUAGUAAUAAUAGUUGCACUGCUACUAGAGUUCUUACCCUUUUUGUAUAAAUGUAAGUCAUAAAUGAUGAUAUAAUUGUGGUACUACUGGAAUGCGUAUUAGUUUUGAAAAUGUUUUCUUUUUUUUUGUAUGAAUUAUGAUAUUCGCCUGUAUCUUAUAAAUUAGAUACAGACAGGAUCUUGUUUUCCCCUUGCUGGACGAGGUUGUUAUUUUUCCUUUUGUUUUAUACCUUUUCCUUUUUUUUAUAACAAUUGCUUUUUCUAUUUUUUGUAGGGGUGUCAGUCUUUCUUCUUCUUUUUUUUUGUUAUUUGAAUUCUAUUGCUUAUGUAAUAAUAAUCAUAAAAGAUAUCCUUUUUUUAGCAAGGAAUGUUUUGUGCACGUUUAUUCUUUUUUUUGUGUGAUAAAAUAUACAAUUCUAUCACUAUAUUUUUUUACUUUUUUUUUAAUAAUAGAUUAAGAAAAAAUUCAUCCUGGAUUUUUUACUACUUGUUUUGCUGUAUCUUUGUCAUGAUUAUUUGUUUAAAUUGUAAUUUUUAUGAGUUUUUUUAUAAUAAAAUAUAUAAUUGUAUUACUCAGUUGUUUUCUUUCUAUUUUUAAUAAUAAAUUAGAGAACUACUAUCUUGGAUCAUUGAGUACUAUUAUUUUAGUUAGUUAUGGCAUAAUUUCCUCAUGCAUAUGAAAAUUACUCUAAUAGUGAAUCAAUUACUCUCAUACCUACUCUCGUGGUUAUGCAAUUAGAUACAAAUUAAUUACCUCUAUGAAAUUACCUAAAAUGAAUCACUAAAACCACAAAGAUGCACCCCUACUUUCGUGAGUGUACUCUCUAGGUUUAACACCUCUUGAACUAAUGUUAAAUCCCAAUUUUCAUUUAAGAAACAACACCUUUAGAUAAUCACAAAUAAUGAUACCAAGUUAAUCAUGAUUUGAGGAGCAAAAGAGCUAAAUAACUUGCUCAAAUUAAAAGCAUCAAAUAACCAAGAAAUUAACACAAUACAAUCAUAGAAAGUUAAACCAAACUUAAGGCAUAAACUUUAGAAACGCAUAAUAAAUAUAAAAUCCAGAGCUUGCAUAUUAACUAAACUUAGAAUCAAUUACAAAAGAUAAAGAGUUGGAAAGAUAGAGUAACUCUUGUCACAUGAGCUCUCUUCUUGUCUUCUUCUUUCUCCAACUUCUUCUUCAUUCAGCUAACACACAAGAAAGGAUGAACUAGCUAAAACUACACUAUUCUACACUACCUAAACUAAAGGGCUAAAAACUAUCUAAGAACUACAUUUUGUGGUGUUUCUUCACCCCCUCUCCAAGCUCUCUUGAUUCUUGCAACUCUAUGGCUAUUUAUAGAUGAAUUUAGUUAAAAAAUGAGGCUUCAAACAUCACUUUUAUAGCUGCAAAAUAGUUGUCACAUGUCUAUCAAUAACUAUGAAUUAUUGGGGGAGAAAACAAGUUGUGCAAUUGGAGAGCCGUAAUUUCUGACUAGAAUCCGGCCAAAUAUCUGUCUAAAAUUGGCUGGAUUUCUCCCCUGUUUUGCUUCUCAAUUUCUAUUCAACCUUUAAUGUUGUUCCAAAUUUGCAUCAAUUUUAACUGAACUUUUCUUAGAAUUAACUCUUGACCAAAACAUAAUACUUGUAUUCCUUUGAGUUAGCUUUCCAAUACAUCAAGAAUCACUUCAUUUGGAUUUGUGUAGGCUACAAAUGACUGAAAUGCCCUUAAUUGUUCAAUGCCUUGUUUUAGUUUCGACCAUAGAAGUUGGCUACUAUAAUUUGGUUUUUUCACCUAGAAAACGUUUAAAUUGGAUUUCAAUGUCUUCAUAGGAAUUGUAGAUCUAUCUCUUAUAUUCAAAAUGGUUCAAAAAUCAUCUCAAUCUGAUCAUUGUAGCUCAAGUUAUAGCCAAAAUACGAAAAUGUGUCAAAGCAGUCAACUUUCCUUUUUCAUCCAAAUGAAGUCUAUUUCCAACUCCUAUAAAAAAAUUAUGGACAAACUAUAAGUAAAAAGGGAAAUAAACCUCAUUUAAACACUUAAGAGCAUUUUAAACUAAUUAUAGCCAAAAUAAUUCAUUUUCUUCUUAUAGCAUUACGAAAGUGAUUGAAAAUAUCAUAAAAUGUCAUUUUAAUAUAGCUCAAAAUAGUCAAUUAUCAUUUAUGCAUGGUAUUUUAUGUAUUAGUUUGUUUAUUUCGUCCACAAACUAAGUGGGGGAUUGUUGGAAUAGUUUGUGAAUGAAAUAGAAAUGAAACUUGUUACAACAAAGAAUUUGGAAACUUAAGAGUCUUGUUGGAAGUCAAAAGUUUCUGAAAUUUUUGGCAUUUUCUAUCCAUUAAAGGGGUUUAAUGGUACCUUUCAAUGUUCAUGAAUGUCCAUAAACAUGUAAAAUAGUGGUUGAAUAACUUGUGAUCUUUGAGUUGUUUUUUCAAUAUAAAAUGACAAGUCUCCACCAUAGAACUAACUAGAAUCUUGAUCAUCUCUUUGUAGAGCAAACUUGACAUUUGCCAUCAAGUUUCUCAAAAAUUUUGUUGUAUCCUAGAUGUAAUUUGCCAUAAUCCUGUAGCAAGUACUUUGUGUAGUGGGAGGCAAAUAACACAUUAAGGACAGUGUCAAACACAUCUCAAGGUCAUCAUUUUCAUCCCCCUUUUUAAGUGAAAUUUGUGUAAUACAAAUUUCUGCACUUUUCUUGGUGCUUGAGUAUCAGUUACACCAACAAUCCCAAAUGGAGGUCUAGAUCUCUAGUUACAGUCAAUGUUCUAAAGCUGCAUCAAAUUGCCAAUUUUGGUCAAAUAGACCCUUUGAUACUCUGAAAUCUGCCAAAUCAUAAAACAUAACAUAAAUCUUUUUAUUAAGCUUUUAAUUUAAACGAAAGACUAAGUGUUGUAGAAAUAAAAUAUAUAAACUUGUCACUUUAUCAUUCUAUUUUUUGUAUAAUAUACUUAGCCAAAACGUUGUCUUCCUUAUAUUCAUCAAGGAAAAUAUAUUGGGAGAAUUUGGAAUAUGGACACCAGAAGAAUCAAUUUUCCUAAGCAGGGUAUAACUUUCAACAAAUUCCUGAAGAGGGAAUAAGUUACUAUUCAAUAAUUAUUAUUAUAAUUAAGUUCAAAUCAAAUUUAUCAAAAUCUCAAAGUCUGUUAAAACAGACAACACUCAAACAGCUUAACAAGAGGGACGGAUGCAGGAUUCUAGUUUAAGGAGGCGAACAGUCAAGCAAGGAACAAAAAAAAGUCAUGAGAAAUGAAGUGCACUAAGUUAAAAUGAAAGUUCAAUAAACGAUAAUUAACAACUAAGUAUUUUAACAAUAAAAAACAAUGUGUAAAGUAAAUUAUGAAUGUUGGACUCUUGACAGGUGCCGAACCUGUGCAAUAAUAAUAAAUAAAACCUAACUACCACUAAAAGCAGUCAAUAAUCAAUUCUAAGUACUGGAGCAGAGACUCUAGGUGUGCAAUGGGUUACUUGAUUCACCCUGUUCCCGAAGAGUUUGCUUAAUCCGAUAUACUUGAAUUAAUUAUUUAACUGAAUUCACUAACUAGUAGACAGUGGUAAGCAGGGUCGUCUUUUCAGGGACUAGCGAGAAAUUUGUUUCUUUUCAAGUCAAGAUUAAUGGGGGGUUUUGGAAUUAAAUGCCAAUUAAACAAAUUUAAUGCAGAAAAUAAUUAAUUAAAAGAAAUAAUUAAGAGAAACUCUAGCCAAGGGUACACUUCAGAAAUGGUUCAUGCACUGAUCAUCGAUUCACAGAUAAUUCCAACACUUAUUAAUAGAUUGGUUAUAGUUGUCAUGCACGCGAUAAACAAUCAACCUUUCCUUAAUUUCUCGAUAGUUAAGGUACGACUGUUAACUAUUUUUCUAACCCAAAAACAACCCUAGGUACGACCGUAGGAUUUAAUUUCUAGAUUGCAUUAAUAAUUAGAAAGACUCAAUCCUAACUAAUAAACACGCUACGAGAGUUUAUUUAAAUUAGAUCAUAUGUUCCCCUGACAUAAACCCAAUUACGCCAGUUGCUACUGAGAUAGAGAUAACGAACAAUUACGGAUUCAAUUAUCCCUAUUUAGCAAAAUAGCCUAUAUGAACAAUUAAUUAUUGCGCACUAAUCAAUCAUUCACAAGGGCUAUAACGAUUAGAAGUAGGAAGCAUAUAAAUACCAAUAAAUAAAGAAAAUAAUUAAAAACGGUUUAGAUCUCACAGUGAUUGCUGAACCAAUUCGUCAGUUGCCCCCUUGACUAGAAUUGAGAAGCUAGUUCUCCAUUAAUGGAGAACCAGCCGUGCCAAAGUAAAAAUAAUCGCCCCUGCUUUUCUAAUGUUUUCUCCCUUUUAAAAGUCGGCUCAGGAGGAAAAGUCCCCAACCUACGUACCUUCCAAUCGUUUUUCAAAGUAAAAACAAAGUCAAAGACAAGCCUUCACGAAGUCUCCUAAUCCUCUACGUUUUUUAGCCACUCAAAGGGAUGAAGGAAAUCCCUUUCCUUUUAGGCUAGGCCCACCAGAGAGAACAAACAGAUCCCCAUCCGGAUUCCUCUCCUUCAAAAUUGGUACCCGAGUACCAAUUUUUCUAAACAAUAGGAGUCCUAUUAUAGAUAGCUUUCUUCAGCUUUUGAAAUGGCCCCACUGCUUUUCCACAUUGUAGUCCGCUGCUUCAUUCAGUUUUGGAAGCUUUCACGUGUGCAAAUUAUCCUGAGAAUCCAUCCUUGAAAGCUGGAGUUAGGCGUGGGCACGCCAAACUAUCAGGGAGUCUGCUGGAAUGACGAUUUUCAGUACUUUUUCUUCACCACUUCCUGUAAUUAAUCCCGAACACAAAACCUGAGUAGAAUCCACCCAACUAGUGCAAUAUUUAGUCAAACAAUUAUGCAAUAAUAUCAAAAUAUCCCACUAAAAUGCACCCUAUCAAUCUCCCCCACACCUAAACGAUGCUUGUCCUCAAGCAUGAGAACAUAAAUCAAGUAAUUAAAUUCAAAUAAUAAUAUUACUCAAAUCUUCUAUUGCCAAGAUAUAAUUAAAACAUAUGUCAAGUAUUAGUGACAAUUUUCAAGAAAUAUCUCUCCAGUUAGCUUUGAAGAUUAAGGACUCCUUCAAUUUAUGACUAACUAAUCUAAGAAUAUAAAAUAUUCAACCAACAUCUAUAAGCAAAUGGUUCGACUAGUAAGCAAAAUCUCAACAUUAGAAUUCAUGGAUCAGUGGGCUAACAAUUCAUUUAAACACUUUCACAUUUUUCACUAUUAGCACUUUUUUCUAAAAUAUUCCCACACUUGAUUGAUUUUUUUUUCGGGAGAAUGCUUAGUUUUUAGCCAUUCAAGCGUUUUAACGCGAACUCCGACAUUGGCCACAUGAAGAAGCCCGGUUACUCAGCCAUUAUCGCUUAAAAAUCACAUACUCAUAGUUAUCGUCGCUUUUUGACGCGAAAGUCGACACUUAUGGUGAAGACUUCCGGUUACUAAGCAACGAUACUAGCGAAGUAUAGCCGAAUACUAUUCAUAAAUAAGCAUCAAAUUAAAAUUAAAAAUCACACAAGCCCGCUUCAUUUUUUAAACAUGGAGAACUAAGAUUAAUAGCUAAACCAAUUUGCACAAAAAAUGCUAGACAAAUAUUUACAAUACUUAGAAAAGUUAACCAACAAGUGCAAAAGUCACAAAAUCUCAAAUAUUCACCAGAGAGAUACCUUUGAAUUUAACCAUGUCAUACUUAACACUUUAGAGUGUAAAAUCUCAGCAGUAAUAGAAAAAUUUGAAACAUCUAACCAUCAUUUAUCAGAAACAGUCACAAAUACGCACAAGAUAGGUAAAAAUUGGAUAAAAUUCGACUGAAUCAAUAAAAAAAAUCCAACAAAAAUACCUACACUGGCACUUUUUCAAUAAAAUACCAAUGUACUACUCCCCCCACACCUAAACCUUACAUUGUCCUCAAUGUAAGCAAUAAAGAAUAAAAUUCAAAGCAAAAAGGGACAACGAAACUUCCCUGAUCAUCAAAAUGGGGGUUGUGACAUAGCUGUAGGUGAGAGGCACAAGACAUGUAAAGCUUGAUGGCAAAACUGAUGAAGAUGAAGGCUAUGAUCGGCAGCUAAGCAUGUCGAGUGGCUCACGAUGGAUAAAGGAGAAUUACGCACGAUAAGUAGCGAUAAUCAGGAACCGACGACCCGCGUUGAACAACACAACGGUGGCAGUGGAAUUUGAGGUCCUUUGGUUGCGGUCUUGUGGCUGGAAAAGAAAAGAAAGGAAUAAAAAGGAAAGGGAGAGAAGAAGAAAAGAGAGAAAGAAAGAAGAAUCAUGGGGUUUUUUUUUUUCUUUUUAGGGUUAAUUCCACUUUGUCCCCCCAAACUUUGGACAAUUAUCCACUUAAGUCCCUAAAUUUUAAAAUGGGACACUUAAGUCCCUAAACUUAUAAAUACCUCCCACUUAAGUCCCUGAACUUAUAAAAUGGGACACUUAAAUUCCUAAACCCUUAUAAAAUGGGACACUUCGACCACCAACGGCAUUCAGGAUUUGUUAACAAUUUUCCUUAAGUGGGAGGUAUUUAUAAGUUUAGGGACUUAAGUGUCCCAUUUUGAAAUUUAGGGACUUAAGUGGGUAAUUGUCCAAAGUUUAGGGGGACAAAGUGGAAUUAACCCUUUUUUUAAAGAAAGGAACCCCUGUGUUAGGCGUGGGUACGCCUAACUGCCUUCGAGUCUUCUGACCAACCGUCCGAAAUGGAGAUCCUUAAACGUGACCACCUGGCGUGGGCACGCCUAACUACUAGAGAGUUUUCUGACCAAUUUUCGGAAAUUGAGUUCCUUAGGCGUGACCACCUGGCAUGGGCACGCCUAACUACUAUAGAAUCUUCUGACCGCAGAUAAAAAUUGCUUUCCUUAAGCGUGACCAUCUGGCGUGGGCACGCCUAACUGCUGGGUAGUCUUCUGUCCGCCAAUUUAAAACUUCCUUCUUCAGGCAUGACCACCUAGCGUGGGCACGUCUAACUGCCAGUUCCCUGCCACAAAAGCAACAAAUCAGUAAAUGCAACUAACACUUAACAAAAACUCCAAAAACAUAAAUAAAAAAAAAACAAAAUAAAGGCCUUGGGUUGCCUCCCAAACAGCGCCUUUCUUUAAUGUUUUUGGCUAGACAUUGCCAUAUUUAUUCACGGAGGAUAAAAUCGUGUAACUCGUUUCAAUGUUUCAUCUUCUAUGUAAUCCUGAUAGCCCUCGUAAAUAGAAUAAUCCUUGAGCACACGAGCUACGAUCCUCGAUGGACUAGUAGAUAGCGCCAAACAAACAAGUAAUGACCUUAAGUCUUUACUCACUCCUCUAUCACAAGCACUUACUGGUUCGAGAUAUUUUGCCAUUGUGACUCUUAACUUAUUCCUGUCAUGAAACUCAAAAUUUUCUAGUAUAAUAAAAUCAAUCUCACUAACAGGAAUUAACGAAUAAGAGUUAGAAGAAUAUUGAUUAAGGAAUGGAGGAGAUAUCACCGUAUUUGGAGAUGGUUCACUGGAUUCAUUCACUUGAACAAUUUGAUAUUGGGGUCCCAUUUUGCGCACUUCAACUUUCUUUUCAACUGCAUCUUCAGAUCCUUCUUCUUGAGAUUCUCGCAGUACCAUGUCAUUUGUCAGGAUAAUUGCACUCUCAUCUUCCUCAUGGUCGAUAAUAGUCUGUAAGGGCAAUUUUCACUCAUUCGAGAAGUCAAUUGCGUUAUCCUAAAUGUCAAUUGAUCCAUUUUAUCUGCCAGAUUACGCAUUCUCGCUUGUGUCUCCUAAUGAAAAUCUAUUGUCGCCUGAUGAAAAUUCAUUGUCUCUUGUUGAAGUUGAUGUGUCUCCUGUUGAAUUUGAUAUGUGUUAGUAGCUAUUAAUUCAACUAUUUCUUCAAGAGACAUACCUGACAUGAAUGACGGUUCUUGAGACUCUAACUGUUGAAAAUCUAUUGGCCUUUGUUCAUAAUUAAAAUUAGAAUCAUCCCACCAUCCUUGCUCAUACCUGUUUGAAUAAGGGUCAUACCACGUUUAAUAUUGAGAUGAAAAAUCUCCAAAAGUAUCGAUUGGAGUACUUAGACCAUCUUGAAAUGCAGGGCAUAUGUCGGUUGAAUAAUUUGAGGCAAAAUAAGUUCCACAAUUUGCAACAACCCAUUGAUCAUUAGAAAAAAUAUGAGUCUCAUAACCCCUUGUAGAAAUCAAAUCCAGUCUAUCACCAAAAUACGUAAUGUAAGCAGCCAUAAACUAUAUAUAAAAAAAAUAAGAGAAAAAUAAAAAAUGAAAAUGAGAUGAACUCAAAAAGAAACAAAUUAAUCAGGCACCAGUCCCCGACAACGGUGCCAAAAAUUGACAGGUGCCGAAUCUGUACAAUAAUAAUAAAUAAAACCUAACUACCACUAAAAGCAGUCAAUAAUCAAUUCUAAGUACUGGAGCACGAACUCUAGGUGUGCAAUGGGUUACUUGAUUCACCCUGUUCGUGAAGAGUUUGCUUAAUCCGAUAUACUUGAAUUAAUUAUUUAACUGAAUUCACUAACUAGUAGACAGUGGUAAACAGGGUCGUCUCCUCAGGGACUAGCGAGAAAUUUGUUUCUUUUCAAGUCAAGAUUAAUGGGGGGUUUUGGGAUUAAAUGCCAAUUAAACAAAUUUAAUGCAGAAAAUAAUUAAUUAAAAGAAAUAAUUAAGAGAAACUCUAGCCAAGGGUACACUUUAGAAAUGGUUCAUGCACUGAUCAUCGAUUCACAGAUAAUUCCAACAUUUAUUAAUAGAUUGGUUAUAGUUGUUAUGCACGCGAUAAACAACCAACAUUUCCUUAAUUUCUCGAUAGUUAAGGUACGAUCUUAACUAUUUCUCUAACCCAAAAACAACCCUAGGUACGACCGUAGGAUUUAAUUUUUAGAUUGCAUUAAUAAUUAGAAAGACCCAAUCCUAACUAAUAAACAUGUUAUGAGGGUUUAUUUAAAUUAGAUCAUAUGUUCCCCUGACAUAAAUCCAAUUACGCCAGUUGCUACUGAGAUAGAGAUAACGAACAAUUACGGAUUCAAUUAUCCCUAUUUAGCAAAAUAGCCUAUAUGAACAAUUAAUUAUUGCGCACUAAUCAAUCAUACACAAGGGCUAUAACGAUUAGAAGUAGGAAACAUAUAAAUACCAAUAAAUAAAGAAAAUAAUUAAAAACGGUUUAGAUCUCACAGUGAUUGCUGAACCAAUUCGUCAGUUGCCCCCUUGAUUAGAAUUGAGAAGAUAGUUCUCCAUUAAUGGAGAACCAGCCGUGCCAAAGUAAAAAUAAUCGCCCCUGCUUUUCUAAUGUUUUCUCCCUUUUAAAAGUCGGCUCAGGAGAAAAAGUCCCCAACCUACAUACCUUCCAAUCGUUUUUCAAAGUAAAAACAAAGUCAAAGACAAGCCUUCACGAAGUCUCCUAAUCCUCUACGUUUUUUAGCCACUCAAAGGGAUGAAGGAAAUCCCUUUCCUUUUAGGCUAGGCCCACCAGAGAGAACAAACAGAUCCCCAUCCGGAUUCCUCUCCUUCAAAAUUGGUACCCGAGUACCAAUUUUCCUAAACAAUAGGAGUCCUAUUAUAGAUAGCUUUCUUCAGCUUUUGAAAUGGCCUCACUGCUUUUCCACAUUGUAGUCCGCUGCUUCAUUCAGUUUUGGAAGCUUUCACGUGUGCAAAUUAUCCCGAGAAUCUAUCCUUGAAAGCUGGAGUUAGGCGUGGGCACGCCAAACUAUCAGGGAGUCUGCUGGAAUGACGAUUUUCAGUACUUUUUCUUCACCAUUUCCUGUAAUUAAUCCCGAACACAAAACCUGAGUAGAAUCCACCCAACUAGUGCAAUAUUUAGUGAAACAAUUAUGCAAUAAUAUCAAAAUAUCCCACUAAAAUGCACCCUAUCAACUCUCCACCACUGUCUUAUGAAUACAAGGCAUUUGAAACUGUGGUCAUCAAUUUUUUCAUUUGGUCAAAUGCAACUAUUACUCGAUGUAGGUGUUAAAUCAAAGUUUUAUGUUAUUUAAUAAUUUCCUAAAUUGUUUGGUAAUAGCCUUUGUCGUUAGAUGAUGAUUAGUGGUUUAAAUCGAAAUUGUAUUCGGUUCCUUUACCAACUUGGAACUUGUGUCGAGCUAUUUAGGGAACUAGCUAGUUUAUAAAUACAACUACUAGUAGUACUGAUUUGUGUGCGUCCGGAACGGGAAGAAAUAACGAAUUAGAGAAUUUGCCUCCCGAUACUUUCCCUAGUUUCGUUCGUUUCUUCCUCGUGCCGUUCCAGUUGUUUAUAUUUUCCGCUGCCAAGAUUAUUGAUUGUUUAAUUCGUUCGUACUAGUUAUCCUGUGAGUAAAUUUUCUACACACGAACUCUACGUCUCUCAGUGUAUGUCAUUAAUGAUGGGCAAGAAAAUCAUCUUGAAAUCAUCAUCAAUCUUAUUGUGUAAUUAGUUAUGAAUUAACUUAUAACAGGAGCAAUUACAAGGGAGAAAACACUAGUAGAUUUGCCUUUAGAAAUGGUGGAUGUUUGAAAUGAGUUCAACGAAUUUGGAAAAGUUAAAAUUCUAGCCAUGACUGAAUUUUCUUGUAUUUGUCAUUUUUUUCUAUUUGAAUAAUGUUUUCCUAACAAUAACUAAUAUAAAGAAACAAAAAGUUGUUUUUCUAAGGAAACUUACAUUUAAAAAAAUUAAUGUUUCUUAAGGUAAAUAUUUAAUAGUUAUCAUAUAUUAACAAUAUAGUCUUAAUAAUGGUAUAAUAUAUGGAAACUAGAGUUAAUCUUUUGUCGGACGCUUCAUAAAGAGAAAUCAAAGGAAUUAAACCGACAACCAACAUAUUUGGAUGCCUCUACCGGCCCCUUCGUCCGUUGUUGUUAACAAGUCUUCAUAUCAACACCAAUAACAACCCCAAAUUUGUAUUUAUGACAAUGAAAUUCCUCAACAAGAAGGAAAGAAACUUUCAUGUCCAAAAACUUCAAAGAUAUGAUACCUUGGGGCAUCCAAUUCAACAAGUUUCACUAUAACAAUUAUCCUGAUUCCAUGGUGUCUGCUGCUCUCGUCUCUUGCCAUUUUUCCUUAUGUCAAUCACACUCCAGUCAUGCACUAAUGUAUCUUGGCUUUUUUACUCCUUUUUCCCCUAAGUUUGUUUCUUUAUUCCACUAUUGCUUUUACGAUUAGUGACUUAUUUAAGUAUUACGUUUGAACUCGUGACUUAUGGUGUUUGCCUCAGUUUAGGUUGGCAUAUUGAAUUUGGGAUCAGGUACAUGACUACGUGGUGCUAUAGUGGAGAUGGGAGUUGAUGAAUAUAUCCAACCUCUUCACUGUAUUUGUUAUAAAAAAGAAUCAUUUUUCCUUCAUUGAUUAGCGACGUGCACUUCAAUAAAUAGUAAUAUGCACUUCAAUGAAAAUUAAUGUGUACACAAGUGUGAAAUGAAAAAUUGUUAAAAGGUUUUGAUGCGAGGAAAAUCGGGUUUGUUUGGAUUGUAAGUUAUUUGAGAUAUUUUUACAGUAGCACUUUUUGUGAUAUGAUGUAUGUGAGAUGAAAAGGUAAUUGGGAAAGUAAAAAGGUGUAUUGGAAAUUGUAAUGAUGAUGUAAGCAAAUAUAUUUGGGGAAAUAAAGAUCAAUCCAAACAAACCUGAUAUUUCCCAUCAUUCAAAAUUUUGAUGCAGCACAUCUAAUUGAAUAACUAGACUUCAAUUUGAAGCCAAACAAACAUUUCUUCUACACAAAGCAAGCUACUUUACACACACAUACACAUAUGGGUACUUUCUGUACAAGUACUCUUCAGAUAGUUUUUAAUUAAUUUGUACCAGUUAUUAAAUAAAUUUUCAUAUACGGUGUCAUAGAGAAGAUAUUAUAUGACAAAUUGUACUUGUCCCACCUUAUAUAUUAAAAGAGAAUUAUUUUUUUCCUUCAUUGAUUAGUCAUGUGCACUUUGAUAAACCCAAGUAAGGACAAUGAUAUAUCGCAAUAGUACAAUUUUUUUAAUGUAGCACAACUAAUUGAAUAACUCUACUUCAAUUUGAGGCUAAAUAAACAUUUUUCCAAUACAGAUUGUGGUUUUCUGCAUACAAGUUCGCGUACUUUAUAUCCAAGUACAAAUAAAAAGUACUUUUUUUACCGUCGUUAAUUAAUGUAUACAGGUGAUUAAAUAAAAUUUCUUAGAUGGUAUCAUAAUAAAGCUAGUAAUUGACGAAUUGAAUUUAUUCAACCUCUAAGAUACAUAAGGGAGGGUUGGAUUGGGUAAAGGAGAAUAAUUUUUUGUUCGUUGAUUAGCAAUGUGGACUGUAGUCAAUAUUGAUAUGCACUUUAAUGUCUGUUAAUAUGCACUUUUGAUAAACACAAGGGUAAAAUAGAGAAAUCACUAAAAGGUUUUCAUGUGAGGGCAAUGAAACAUCAAAUUAUUGGAUUUUUUUUGAUGUAGUGUAACCAAUUGGAUAACCCAACUUCAAUUCAAGGUGAAAUAAACACUUUUCUUAUACAGAAUGAGGUACUUUACAUACAAGUUAGGGUCCUGUUUUAUGCAAGUAUUUUUCUUACAAUUGUUAAUUAUGUAAAUUAAUGAUCAAAUAAAAUUCAAGUGGAUGGCUGAAUAUUAGCUCCUAUUUAUACAAUUUAGAAAUAACAAAUUUGCAAGAUACAAAUCUCAUAAUAAUCACUAACUGAUUUUUAAAAUUUAUUCUGCCAGUCACAAGGGAGGGUUGGAUUGGGUAAAGGAGAAUAAUUUUUUCUUCGUUGAUUAGCAAUGUGGACUAUAGUCAAUAUUGAUAUGCACUUUAAUGUUUCUCAAUAUGCACUUUUGAUAAACGCAAGGGUAAAAUAGAGAAAUCACUAAAAGGUUUUUAUGCGAGGACAAUGAAACAUCAAAUUAUUGGAAUUUUUUUUGAUGUAUUGUAACCAAUUGAAUAACUUGACUUCAAUUUAAGGCCAAAUAAACAUUUUUCCUAUACAGAAUGAGACACUUUACAUACAAGUUAGGGUCCUUUUUAUACAAGUACUUUUCUUAUAAUUGUUAAUUAUGUAAAUUAAUGAUCAAAUAAAAUUCAAGUGGAUGGCUGAAUAUUAGAUCCUAAUUAUACAUUUUUGAAAUAACAAAAUUGCAAGAAACAAAUCUCAUAAUAAUCACUAACUGAUUUUUUAAAUAUAUUAUGCCAAUCACAGUGGAUUUGAGAUCAAAGAAGCAUUUUAGGUUUACAAAAUUUGUAUUUCACAUACAAAUUAGAGUUUUUUUUUAUUAUUUUUGUAACAGUAGUGAAUCAAUUUAAGUUCAUAUUAAUCUUAGUUAACUUGUCUAGCUUAUGCUGCUUACUAAUGUUGAAUUCAAGAUUGAACAAAUUUUUUUCUUAAUACAAAACCAAUACUUUACAUAUACAACUUAGGUAUUCAUUUUUUUGAUAUAAAUAAUUUUAUUAACAGAUUGUUGGAAAUUAUCCAAUACAAUUUGAUUUACAUUAAUGUUUUGAUGGUAGGUUAAACAUGCACUACAAAAUAUAGACAUACAAUUUAACAGAUAUAAUGAAUCUGAAAAAUUGUAUAUAGAUCUGAAAAGUAUAAGAAAUUUCAAAUUUGUCUUCUAAUAAAUAAAUUGUUGCAACUUUCUUCUAUGCAUAUUGCAAUAACAACUCAGGUAAUCAUUAACAAUUAAGUGAUUAGUGUCUAAUUUUGGAUUCGAAUUUGGGUAACGUUUGUGCACAUUUAUAUUCACUGGAGUGCACAUUCAUAUUCUUCUUCUUUUUUUUUUGUCGAAACGUUAGAAUCAUUUCAUUCAUUGUAACGAGAAAUUAUAAGUGCAAGCAAAGGCUCGAAAGGUCUGUACAUCUAGUGCUCAAUAGCACUGAGGAAAAAUCCAUUCCUCAUCCACAAUAAUGCCUAAGGCAUGAAAACUUAAACUUUUGCUUCUUUCUAUACUUUCUUCACUAACCAAGCAAAACAAGCACAUGCGAAACAGCUUCUGUAUGUUAAGUAUGUCUUCUAUGAAGGUAGCUAAACUGCUGUUGGAGGGGCUUCUGAUCUUGAUAUGUCUCAUCAAUUCUUGGUUUUGAGAGUGAAUCGUGAUCCUACUCCAUUUCUGCUCUAAAGCUUUACACAAAACAACUUGAUGGCCACUGCUUCAUUUAUGGUUUUAUCUCCCAAGUUUCUCUCUUUGAGUGCCCAUUCUGCCAUCAGAGUAUUUGGAUGCCUCCUAACUGUAACUCCAAUCCCCAGCGAGACCUGACCGUACUGACUCUUUGUUGCCACCUCCAGAACAAUUGCACCUUCUUCUUCAAGCCCCUGAUGAUGUUCUACAUUGUUGGAAGUUGUUUCUCCUGUGCUUAACCUGAUCUUAGUGUUCAUGCUUUCCUCUUGUUCCAACUAGUCCUUAUGAGCUUUAAUAAUUGUCCUAGCUAGUGAGCAGCUGCUUUUGUUUUCAAAUUCCUUUUUGUUUCGUUCUUUCCACACUUGCCAUAAAAUUCUUGCAGUCAGUCCAAUAUGCUCCAUCCCACUUGGCCUUUUUCUUGCCUCUGAAACUCUGAUCCACCAACGUUUGAAAUUUCCUUGUUGGUCUACAGCACCAUCCCAUUGUAUUGGUGCAGCCUUCUAUACCUCCUGUGUGUGUUGACAGUUCAAAAGUAAAUGUUCCACUGUUUCCUGCUCUUCCCCACAGAUUCUACACACUGGAUCUCCCAAUCUUGUCUUCCUCACUGGUAGUUCACCAGUUAUGCAUUUCCAAAUGAAAAUUUUUAUCUUAUGUUUGAUGUUGAGCUUCCAUAAGGUAUUCCACAUUUGCCUAGCUUGCUGGCUUCCUUCUGUGAUACUUGGACUUGCUGCCUCUGCUUGUUCCUUCUCAGCAUCUGUGCUCUCUUUCAUAAGGAGUUUAUAGCCUGAGUUGACCGUGUAUAUCCCCCCUGCAUUGUGUUGCCAAUAGUAGCUGUCCUCUCUCCCAGUCAAACUUAAGGGGAUCUUUAAGAUCUUCUCAGCAUCCCUUUGAUUGAAAUACUUAAAGAUGAUGUUUCUAUUCCAUCUUUGAUGACUGAUUAACUCAUGCACCAUCUUCAAGUCACUACUUUGAGGUCUAAGGGAGGUUGGCUUACCAGAACUAGAUCCAGGAAUCCAUCUAUGAUCCCAGAUGCUUGUACUUCUCUCGUUGCCAAUCUUUCUAAUCAUCCCUUUGUCAAUUAAGCAUCUGGCUCCUAGUAAUCCUUGCCAUAUCCAGGAUGCAUUCUUGUGUGUCUUGCAUGUUAAGAUAGAGUCCUUAGGGAAGUAUCUAGCUUUCAGCACUUUGCUAAUCAGGAGGUUUGGUUUGGUGAUUAUUCUCCAAAUCUGCUUACCCAGCAAAGCUUUAUUAUAAGCUGCUGUGUCCUUGAAACCCAGACCUCCUGCAUUCCUCUUCAUUGACAUUUUCCUCCAAGAUACCCAAUGCAAUUUGUUUUUGCCAUUUGUUUCUCCCCACCAGUAAUUGGCCAUCAGUGAGCUAAUGUCUUUACACAGCUUCCUUGGCAGUUUGAAAACAACAUGGCAUAAGUAGGCAUUGCCAUUGAUACUGCCUUGAGCAUCACUUCCUUGCCUACAGUACUUAGCAACUUAUUCCUCCAAUCCUGAAGCUUUCUCCUUAUGUUUUCCUUGAUGAACCCAAAGAUCUGAUCCUUUGUCCUAGAGAUCACCAUAGUCAGUCCCAGAUAUUUGCCUUGUUUCAUCUCUACCAUUCCUCCCAGAGAGCUGCACACUUCUUUUCUUUGCUCCAUAGACAUAUUCUUACUAAAAAAGACAGAAGACUUAUCCAGGUUGAUCAACUGUCCUAAAGCCUUUUCAUAUGUUUUGAGAAUCUUCAUGAUUUCAGUAGUCUGCUGCUUGUUAGCUUUACAAAAAAUGAGGGAGUCGUCUGCAAAGAAAGGUGUGUGAUGAUAGGUCCUUGCCUACUGAUCCUCAAACCUUUUAUGUCAUUCCUCUCUUCAACUUUCCUCAACAAGUUGGAGAAACCUUCUGAUCAGAUUAAGAAUAAGUAAGGAGAUAAUGGGUCUCCCUGUCUUAUUUCCCUUUCUGGAGUUACAAAUCCUUUAGUUUCCCCAUUGCAAUUGAAAGAGUAGGUUACUGUUUUCAAGCAGUUAAUAAUCCAGUUAAUCCAUUUUACACAAAAGCCCAUCUUCAGCAUCAUUGCCUGCAAAAAAUGCCACUCCACUCUAUCAUAGGCUUUGGCCAUGUCUAACUUGAUUGCCAUGUAACCUUUUUUUCCUUGCCUUUUAUUUUUGAGGUAAUGCAUGUACUCAUGGCUUAAGAUUACAUUAUCUAAGAUUUGUUUGUCUGGGAUGAAAGUAGAUUGGAUGCUACUAAUGCACUUUCCCAGAACUAGUUUCAGUCUAUUGGCCAAAACUUUGGAAAUGGUUUUGUAGAUCACACUGCACAGGCUGAUGGGUCUAAAAUUUUUCAAACAAGUUGGAUUCAAGAUUUUGGGGUUUAGAAAAAUAAUAGUAUGAUUAAUAGAUUUAAGCAUGAAGCCUGAACUAAAGAAAGAUUGAAUUGCUGGAAUCAAAUCCCCUUUGAUAAUGCUCUAGAACCUUUGAAAAAAUAAGGGGGACAUGCCAUCCUGGCCUGGAGCUUUAUCAGGCUACAUGGAAAAGAGAGGUGAUUUGAUUUCUUCUUCCUCAACUGGUUUAGUUAGAUUGGUGUUCAUUUCCUGAGUAAUUGAGUAGGGAAUACCCUCUAGGAUCUCAGACAUAUCAUUCCUCCCUCCACUUGUAAACAACUCUCUAAAGAAGUCAGAGAUUUCUGAUAUUACUUCCUCCUCACUUUCAGUCCAUGAACCAUUCUCCCUUUGCAAUUUCCUGAUUCUAUUCUUAGUUCUUCUCCCCUUAACAUAGGCAUGGAAGUACUUUGUGUUUUUAUCUCCUUCUCUUAGCCAGUCAAGCCUUGCUUUUUGGCACCAGAAUUUAUCUUCUUCCUUAUAGGCUUCCUUAAGCUAGUUCUUGAGCUCAGUCGUAGUCUCUUUCUUAUUAGCAGCAUUUGAGCCUCUCACAGCCUCUAGUUCCUUCCCUAGCUCCACAAUCUUUCUUUUAGAAUUUACUUGGAAGGUGUUUCUCCAUUUCAGUAGCUCUAUUCUACGGUUUCUGAUCUUUUUGGUAACUUUGAACAUACAUGAGCCAGGCUCUUCCCUCUGCCAAGCUUGCUCCACUACCUGUUGAACCCUUUCCUUUUGCAACCAUAUUUUAUCAAAAUAGAACCUUUUUUUUUCCUUUUCUCCUUCCCUGGAUCAGUGUCUAAGAACAGUAUGCUAUGAUCAGAAGCAUAAGUGUCCAUGUGUUGACAUCUUGCUUUUUCACAUGUCUAAACCCAUUCAUAGCUGGCCAAGCAUCUAUCUAAUCUCUGCCUUUUCUCAUUCAUCCUCCCAAUGGUUACUCCAAGUCCAUGGGUGACCCUCAAAGCUUAUAGCUAUCAAGUUAUUCUGAUCUAUAAAGUUCUUAAACUCCAUUAAGCUUCUCUCCACUCUGAGAGUUCCUCCCCAUUUUUCUUCAUUAGACACUAUGUCGUUGAAAUCUCCUGCAAUCAUGAAUCUGUCACCCCACAAUCUAUUUUUACCUCUCAAGACUCUCCAUUGCUCCUUCCUAAUCUGAGCAUUACAGCUCGCAUAAACCCCUAUAAACCACCAGUCACAUUGCUUAUCAGUAUCCUCUAUUCUGACUUCAAUAAUGAAGGCUGUUAGGUUAACUUCCAGAACUUGUGUUUUCUCUUUCCAAAAAAUAGCCUUACCUCUGGCCUUGUGCAUAGCUUCCACCACUGCACUGUUGUCAAAAUGUAAACCUCUAGCAAUCCUAUCAAGCACCUGUUUUCUAUUCUUUGUCUCACUCAAGAAAAUCAGGCUUGGAGAGAGGAGGUUAUUCACCCUCAAAUGGGGAACUGUCAAGGGGCUCCCCACUCCUUGACAAUUCCACACCAAGGCUCUCAUUUCCUUUGGGGGGCCCCAUUAGGGAAGGACCCACCUCCACCUCAGUCAUUCCUGCCAUACCAGUUAACUCAAGUGGCUUAGUUUUUUUGCCUACUGACUCUUGUUGGUGUACUUCCUCCAUAUCCUCAUCAAAAAACAGCAUCUUCCUUUUCCCAUUACCUAUAAGAUUAGUUUCCUGUUCAUUCCUCUCUUUCAGAGGCCUUCUUGUUUUGAUUGGUGACUUCAGCUUCUUGUAUGACCUUUUAACUUGCUUUUUAAUGGCUCCCUGCACCUUAUCAUUACUAUGGGGCUCCUCCUGCAAUACUGCCUCCAGUACUGGUAUCUCUUGAAUCUAUUUUCUUGCUCCAGCCAUCUUGAACUCAUAUCUCUGUCCUCCUCCAUUUCCUCCACUUCUAUUAGAGUCAGAUUCUCCUCAACUUUGUCCUGUACUAUCAGAGAGAGGUCCUGCUUUUCCUUAGUCAAGGGCUGGAAGUCAUCUCUGAGAGCUCGUUCCAUACCACUAGUUCCCACCUUAUUUGAAGGGCCACUUUGAUCUUUUCCUACCCUUAUAUCCUCCUGCUAUUUCAUUAAAUCCUGAUUGCUUCUAGAUCCUAGACCUGUGGUCCUCAGUGUCUCCAGGAGUUUCUCUCCAGAAUGCAUCCUAUUCCUUUCCUUCUCAACCAUUUCCCCAUUCUGAAACUUCUAAUACCUCUUAUCUUUCACCAUUUCCUCUCUCACUAUUCUAUCCUUAGUUCGACUUCUGGUACUUCCUGCUCUCAACCAAGGGCCAUGUUGGUGCUCUAGUAGGCUUCCUGAAGUAGUUCUUUGCUCUUUACACGUAUGUUCCCCAUGCCUUACUAUUCCGCAGCUAUAACAGAAAUAUGGGCAUCUUUUAUACUUAAAAGCUACCCAUUUGAGUGACUCUGCUACGUGCACCAAUGUUCCUCUGAGAAGGGGUUUAGACAAAUCUACAAGAGCUAGCAUUUUCAAAUGUCUGCCCUCUUUUCCCCCUGCCUGAGGGACAAUGACCUCUUUAACUUCUUUAAAAACUGCUCCUAUCUUUCUCCCUACCUCCUUGGAGAGCCAAUGCACUGGCAGAUUCCAAAUUUGUACCCACAGAGGUGCAAGCUCCAUAGUUAUCUUCUAUCCCUUCUGACCAUCUGUUCAGCACUAGGAUUUGAUUAUCCAUUAUCCAAGGGCCUCCUAUCACUAUUCUUUCUUUCUCUUCUAAGUUGGGGAUAUUGAAUUGGAACAAGUUCGGUCCCAGCUCCAUUACUGUCAGAUUCCUGGGGUAGCUCCAUGCUCAUGCUGCAGUCACAAAGUUCUUCACCCCCGUAAAGUUUGCAAUUUUCUCUCCUAUUAUUCUUCCUAUCAGACUUCCUUCACAAUCUCUCACCCUACUAUUAAGAUCCUCAAGCUCCAGCUUAGCUCCAGAUAUCUCAUUCCCCUCCAGUGAGAAUUAUCGUAACAACUCAGUCAGAUCUCCCUCCAUUGAUGUACCAAAGAUGCUAACGGGUAUUCCCUCUACGUACUUAGGAAAUUAUGCCUUUUCACCUUCCAAUUAGGUUAAAGACUAAGACACGAAACAAAGAGAAACAAAAAAUACGAAAACAGAAGACAAAGACACUACUGGACAAAAACUACCUUACUAAAAGGAAACCAGGAAAACAGCAAGGUCAAGAGUGACUACACAACAAGAAUCCAAAGAGCAUAGAAAAAACAAAGACACGGCCAGACAUGUACUACCUCAGUAAAGGGAGCAAGGAAAAGUAAAGGUGAAUCAAGAUUUACCUGGCUUUCAGCUUACCAUAAAGUGUUGUUUUUAAGUUGUCUGUUGUUCCCUCUGGAGAGACCUCCUUAAAUAACCCUGAGUGCGGUAGUUGAGCUGCUUUAAACUAGCAUUUGGUGCAGAUCAGAUUGGUAGUGGUGAUGUUUGUGAAAUUUUUGUGCAAAAGUGCGGGUUAGUGCCUAGUGGGAAAUUUUGAAAAAGUUUGAAACAUUGAUGAACUCCCACCAAAAGGGAGGUGAGCUCUUAUACCAAGAGAGAGCUUCCUCUACACAAUGAGACGAUUUCCUUUGAAAUUGUUUGGGUUAAUUUGCUGUUUUUGCCUUAUAAGUCAUUUACUCACAUUCAUAUUCACAAAGUUAGGUUACUUUUUAUCCAAGUACAAGUACUUUUCUUACAAUCGUUAAUUAAUAUAUACUAGUGAUUAAAUAAAUUUUCUUAGAUGGUAUCAUAAUAAAGAUAGUGAUUGACGAAUUGAAUUUAUUCAACCUCUAAGAUACAUGGGGAGGGUUGGAUUGGAUUGUAAGGGGGAGGGAUUGUACGUAGGAGGUUUUGGGUUCAAGACCUCUUACUUACCCAAAAAAAUCCUCUAGGAUACAUAUUGGAAAAGAAUAAUUUUUUCUGAGUUGAUUAGCAAUGUGGACUAUAGUCAAUAUUGAUAUGCACUUUAAUGUUUCUCAAUAUGCACUUUUGAUAAACGCAAGGGUAAAAUAGAGAAAUCACUAAAAGGUUUUUAUGCGAGGACAAUGAAACAUCAAAUUAUUGGAAUUUUUUUUGAUGUAUUGUAACCAAUUGAAUAACUUGACUUCAAUUUAAGGCCAAAUAAACAUUUUUCCUAUACAGAAUGAGACACUUUACAUACAAGUUAGGGUCCUUUUUAUACAAGUACUUUUCUUAUAAUUGUUAAUUAUGUAAAUUAAUGAUCAAAUAAAAUUCAAGUGGAUGGCUGAAUAUUAGCUCCUAAUUAUACAUUUUUGAAAUAACAAAAUUGCAAGAAACAAAUCUCAUAAUAAUCACUAACUGAUUUUUUAAAUAUAUUAUGCCAAUCACAGUGGAUUUGAGAUCAAAGAAGCAUUUUAGGUUUACAAAAUUUGUAUUUCACAUACAAAUUAGAGUAUUUUUUUUAUUUUUGUUACAGUAGUGAAUCAAUUUAAGAUAAUAUUAAUUUUUGGUUGACUGUUCAAGUGGUGCUUACUAAUGUUGAAUUCAAGAUUGAACAAAUAUUUUCUUAAUACAAAACCAAUACUUUGUGUAUACAACUUAAAAAAUCAUUUUUUUGACAAAAAUAAUUUUACUAACAGAUUGUUGAAAAUCGUCCAACACGAUUUGAUUUACAUUAGUGUCUUAAUGCUAGGUUAAACAUACACUACACAUUACAGAUAUACAAUUUAACAGAUAUAAUGAACUUGAAAAAUUGUAAAUAGAUCUGAAAAAUAUAAGAAAUUUUAAAAUUGUUUUCUAAUAGAUAAAUCGUUGCAAUUUUCUUCUAUGCAUAUUGCAAUAACAACUUAGGCAAUCAUUAAUAAUUAAGUGAUUAGUGUCUAAUUUUGGAUUCGAAUUUGGGCAACGCUUGUGCACAUUUAUAUUCACUGGAGUGCGCAUUCAUAUUCACAAAAUUGCGCUUAUGUAGUUGCAAUUAUAAAUCGGAUGGUAAGAAGCAAUAAAGAGAAAUGUCAUCGACAUUCUAAAGCAAGUUAUAGUAGCUUACCCUUUUUUUUAUUUAUUGAAGUGCACAUUUAUGUUCAUUAGAGCGCGCACACACAUAUGAACAAAUUAUCUAAUUUAGGCGAUAUUGAAAUAUGUUUCUCUGCUGGUCAGAAUUUGCACAUCUUCAACAAACUUCAACCCUUAUCAAAAUUCAAGAAAAAAUUACUAUAAUCCGAAUAAGAACUGGAACUUGCUUAUGAAAAUCAAUCACACCAAUUAAAAGAUUACAACUACUGAUAUUUGAAUGAGAACAAAAUCCUAGGUAAGAGAAACAGAAUUUCCUCUCUUUUGUCCGGAAAGCAGUCUUGAGUUCUGCUAGAACUAAAAGUUUGCAUUCAGGAAAGUCCAAAUAUUGGAUAACUUUGUACAGCAAUUAUUGACCUCUAAAAUUCCCCUGCAAAUGCUUCUAGUGCAUCUAUUACAUGCAGAGAGAAAUGAAGCAAAAGUAGUACAACUAGCAGGAGCAGCAGUGUACCUAAUGAAGCAGCUGCUUCUUCAGACUGAGCAAUGGAAACAAUUACCGCAGAAGAAGUUCUUCUCUUCAUCAUCAUCUUCGUCAUCGUCUUCUGGUCUGAAAUAAAUUAAUUAGUGGGAUUUUUCAGGCAAAUACUGAAGUUUGGUUGUUGAAUUUUAUUUUCAAAGCUAACUUCAAGCAAUUGCACUUUUAUUUUUUUCUCAAUUUCGACGUCGUCACGGUGUCGGAUAGGAAAGCCCAAUCAAAAGCCUGGCAUGGCCCACACUUCUAUUUUUGAAGGGAUAUUUUGUAAAUGGUGUAAUUAUCGGACUCGACAUUACUAAAUCAUAUAGUUGGUUAUGAACGAAGAUGUUGUAGUUAUUAUUGCUGACGGGUUUUUACUUUAAGUGCAAGUUUAAUUCCGAAUUUACACCCGUUGGACUGCAAGUAUACAGGUCGCAAUUGUAGUACGAGAUGUGUAUCGGGUCGAUCCCACGAGGAGCAAUUUAAAACAAUUAUUAGAUACUAAUUUACUCUAUUAUUUAGACUCACAAUUAAUUUGAGCAGAAACUUCAGAUUUUAAUUCAACUACAAAAAUUCUUAAAUAGAUAAAUGCAAUUUCACAAUAGGAGUAGAAUUCACUAAAUAUUAAGAUCUAGGGAUGUAGAUUCCACUUAUGACACAAAAGAUCUAAAAUGAAUUAAUUCAACACUUGUUACUGCUCUUGUUUAACCAAGGAUUCAUUUCCAGAAAUACUAAAAUCACAUUCUCAUGAUAAUAAUGGGUUAAAACAGAUUAGUUUGUCCUAAUCUCUUGGUAAAUACUAAAUCUGUUCUUAUUCACACAUGAAAUGCAGAUUUCAUCCACUUGAAUGUAUUUCUAUUCUCAUGAAUAUACAACUCAAGUUCUACUUGUGUCAUUCCAUUAUUUUUACCAUUUCUUAAUGAAUAAAAACAACUAUAAACCUGCUAUUGGUGAUCAAGCAACAACAAGUAAUCAAGCAUACACAAGUAGACAAGUUAAUACAAGACAUAACAAGCAUAAAUCACAAUCACUUCAUAUCAUUUGGCCAUAAGCUUCAUCUACUCCCUAGAUAAAGGAAAUUAGCUACUCAUGAAUGAUGAAACACUCAUAACUUCAUUAAUGUAAAUCAUCAUGAAUUACAAAUACAAACAGAGUAAAGAAAGUCUUAGCCAAGAUAUGGUGAAGCCUUCCAAAAAUCUCCUUUGUCUUGAACUUAGAUGAUUACAAGAUGAAAUCCCAAUUGCCCCUUGCAAGUCCUAGGUAGAGAGAAUAUGUUUUUCUGUCAAGAAGCUAAGCUACGAAUGGAUGUCCCAGACCUCUCCCCAUAUCUCUGCAUAAAAAAACACUCAAAGGCUCCAUUUUUCCAAGUCAAAUUCUAUCCUUUGAUUCCCAAAUCUCCACUUUGUUAGCAUAGUCAAAAACCAAUAUUUUUGACUUGAAAAUAAGCCACUUUUCUUGCCCUUUUGUCUUCUGAAGCAUGUGCACCGAAUUCCCUUGCAUCUUAUAGCUGGAAAGUGGUAUGAACACAAGAGAAUUGGCUGAGUCAAAUUGCAGAAUUUCGGCUAUAAAACGCGCCUACACAAAACGCGGCACAAGUCGCGUUUUGUGUACUCGCGUUUUCACUCUGGCCUUAUUCAUCUGCGAUUUUCUCUAUCAUAAAGGCCGAACUAGCUUUUGUGCAAAACACAAAAGUUGUAGCCCUUUGAGUUAGCUUUCCAAUGCUUCAAGAAUCAUCCAAAUCGGAGCUUUGUAGCCUGAGAUAUGAUCGAAAUACUGUCACCUGUUCAAACCUCUGUUUUAACUUCCGACCACAGAAUGCAGCUUCUGUAUUCCAACGUUUUGUCCAUGAAGAUGGCAGAAAUGGAUUUCGAUGUCUUCAUACGAAUUGUAGGUCUCUUUCUUAGCUUUAAAAUGGUAUAAAGAUCACCUCAAUCCGAUAUGUGUAGCUCCAGAUAUGGUCAAAAUACUGAAGAGUGUCAAAACUGACUUGUAUUGCAUUUCCUCACUUGAACGUUUUUCACUUCAUUCUUCUUGUUGCCACUUAAAUUCAUCACCAAAUCUCUAUUUUUCACCUCAAUUGACCUCCUUUGGUGAUUGAUUCAUUAUUCCUGCAUAAAAAUGAAGUUUUUACUAUUAAAAUCAAUAGAAAUGCAAUAUUAUCCACUUUUACCAAAAAUAUAUAAUUUUACCAAAAACCUCUUUAUUUUAAUUAUAAAACUAAAUAAUCAACUCAAAAUUAACUAAUAAAAUGCACUUAAAAAUACGUAAAAUAAACUCUUAUCAAAUACCCCCACACUUGAAUCAUUGCUUGUCCUCAACCAAUAUAAAAUUCUAACCAUCAAUGAUCCAAAAAAAUUGAAAAUAAACAUAUGUAGUAUUUCAACUCCAUUUCCUUGAAUCAAGGUAAAUAACCCUUAUGUGAUCUUUCCAUUAAGUUCAAGUACUCAUAAUAUCAAGCAAAGAAGAGCCAAGUAUACCAUAAUUUUGCCAAUUCAACUCAACUUCUUAUUUUUAUCCAAUUUCGCAAGCAAGCAACUCCUAUAGUCAAUAAAGAUGCUAACUAAUCUCAUGAUCAACUUCUUAUUUUUCUUAAAGAGGGAUUUAAUUUACUUUUUAUUUAUUUAUUUAUUAUUAUUUUAUUUUUUUUAUAUUUUAAGGGUUAAAUAUUACUUAAGUUGUGAAAAAUGCCUUUUGACGCGAAGAUCAACAUUUUUAGAUGCAGAUCCCCGGUUACUCAACAUUUCACAUACUCAAGUUGCUUUGCAUACUCUUAAUUCAAGUACCUUUUUACGCGAAUGUCGACAUUUGUAGAUGCCAACCCCCGGUUACUCGGUAUGAGAAUCAUUGGAGUAGAAUAACCCUUUUUUUUUUUAAUAUAUAUAUAUAUAAUAAAAUUCCCUCUAAGAGUAAUCAUGAGAAGAGUAUGACACUUAUUAACCAUAUUAAUUUCUUAUCUUAUAAAAUUAGAUAAAAAGAAGAAUUUUCAUCAAAUAUACAAAAUGUAGGCAUAAUUUUCUCCAUUUUACUAGAUAUACUUUCCUAUAGAUGUAAAAAUUAUAAUCACAUAAAAAUCAUUUCCAAAUUUCAUGAGAAAAGAAGUAUCAAAACCGCAUAUAUUUAUUUUAAAAGGAUAAGUGACAACAUUUUAUUUAUUUAUUAUAGUUAAUAACAUAUAUGUGUAUAAGGUUUUGGAAAAAUUUUGACAGAAUCUCCCCUUAAAAGUGGACUAAAACUCCCUGCCAGCAACCACAAGAAACACCAUUUAAGCACAAGAAUUAUAUCAAACACAACUAAAACCACAAGUAUCACACAUAUUUCUCCCCCCACACUUAAAUUACACAUUGUCCUCAAUGUGUAGGGAAGAAAUGAAACAAAAGAAGAAAAGAAAAGAAAGAAGUACUCCCCAAGUCAAUGGCUGAGAUCCUUAUCAGCCACUAAUCACGAACCACUGUCAAAAUACAAGUACCUACCACAUAGAAAACAGAAAAAUAAAAUGAAGUUAAACAUCUUAAGUUCCACAAGUUAAGAUAAUUAGGCAAGCAAGUUCAUCAACUAAAGAUAGCUUCUGCAGUGUGCCAAGUCAGUCAUCUCCCUCAGCAUCAUCGUCAUCCUGUGCAUCACGAUUGGGCGGUGGAUGAAUGCCCAAAUGAUCUUCAAUUCGGCUUAGACGAUUCCUAACGUCAGCGAACUGGAAUGCAAAGUCCUCCAUAUGAUCAAAAAGUCGCUGCCAAUUAGUUUGUGGUGGAGGAGGAGGUGGUGCUGCAGUAGAAGGUCCAGCUUCAUCCCGACCAUGUCUAGCCUUUUGUCUCCGCUCCUGAACAGGGCGUGGAAUGUCUCCCGUGCCAAUACCAAGGCGGCGAAGAGUAGUGAUAGUCAUCUCAGCACGUGGUGGAACAUACUCCCGCCGCAUGCCUUCCAACGGAACUUCAAAACGGGGGAAGAUUAAAGUCAGUAGACGAGGAAAUGAAAGUUUGAAGGAAGUUGUCUUACGCCUCGCCGUAGACCUAAUGUGGCUGAUGAUGAUGUUAGGCAAUGAAAUCCGAGCAUAUGGAGAUGUCCGGUUAUGGAACAUGUAAUCCAAGAAGUAGAUAUCGCUCUUGCGGACGUCCGUGUGCCCCGUCUUCUUUGGGAUGACAUUGUGAGCCAUCAUGUAAAUGAUAAGACGAUGACGAGGUUCGAAUACAUUCGCCAAUAUGGUCUCCUUUCUGGUAGAGCGAAAAGGUUGGUACUCGAGACCAAACCUAGCCAUGGCCAAUGAAGGAUCCCAUCUCCUAUUCGGGGGAACAAACUCCUUCUUCAAGUCUACUGGACGUCCGUCAUCCAUACACCCCAAAAUAGCAGCCAAAUCUUGCCGUGACAAGGUGAUUCGUCUUCCACGCACCCAGGACUCAACUAUUUCUCCACUAUGGCGCGCCUUACUUUCAAUGUUGGCGUAAAACUCGCGCACCAAGUCUGGGUAGUAAUGGUUUGGAAGGGUGAGAAUCGGAGCCCAUCCUAGCUGAGCAAAAGCCUCUGAGAUGUUGUACAUCAUCUCAACUGGUGGACUGACGUGCAUCUCAAACAAAAACUCCAAAUUAGCACGCGCCUCAUGCCACUCCUGAUUCCUGCGAGUAUUGAACCUAGCACUGUCAAAUACCGAUUUUUCCGCUCCACGGGAGGUGCCCUCACCAGGUCGACGGUUAAUUGGUGGAGGAGAAGGUGAAUUCUCCUCUUCAGUCACCUCCAUCUCUUCAUUAACCUCCCUCUCCUCACUACUAGAGGAUGAAAGUACCGCUCUUCUUCCCCUUGGCAUAGUACCUAAAAAAUCUUUCAAUUAUCCACAUGUACUACAACUCAUUAUUUGGCAACAAAAGUUCAGCAUUAAUCCAAAUAACCUCAAAUACAAUUGCUCAAGUUCUAAUCAUUCAAUGAUCGUACAAGACAUAUUUUCUGCCUAAAGUUGCCCAAAAUCACCAAAUUACACAAGAUAUGUAUCAAUUAUAAUUUAAUUAGUGAAAAUAGGAACAAUUAUGAUUAUAACUAUUUAGAAUUAACAAUAAUAAUAUGCUUUUAGCUAUAAUCAUGUUUAGGCAAAAAUUAAACUAAUUAACUCACCAAAUUACUCACUAUACACAAUGCACAUGCUUAAACAUCAUCAACUAACCAUUUUUAACCAUAAUUUAACAUCACCAAUGGCUCAAAAACAUCCUAAAUCCAUUUUCCAAUUUCCUCCAAAUAUAGCAAUUGUGAAUUUUGAAAGCAAUAAUGACCAACAACUUGCUACAUUUAAACAUGUAAACAUACUUAAACAAUCUUAAUAAGCAUGAAUAAAUUCAAAAAUGGUCAAAUACAUCAUCAAAUUUUCGACAUUAAAAGAUGUCAGAGAGCUCAGGAUAAAAAAAUAUGACUUUCUAAAAUCAAAAGAUUUGAUGAAGAAACUUACCUCAAUCACGUAGAAGGAUGUUUGGUGAUGCUAAAAAUGUCAAAAGCCUUAUGAAACAACCUCCAAUUGACCUCCAAUUGAAGAAAUUAGAGUUUAAGAACCCUAACCUUCAAUCCCUCAAAAACCUGAUUUUAGGUGUUUUUCUUGGAUUUUAAUCGGUUAAAAAGGGUAUAUGAAGCUCAAAAGGUGUUGGGGUGAUGCUUUCUAGCAAGAUUAUGGAGUAAAAAUAAAGAUUUGUGAGUUGGGUAGAAGAGAAGAAGAAAAGAGCGCCUGAAAAAUUAAGAAGAGAGGAAAAAAAUGAAGCUGAAAUCGCGUUUCUGAAGGCUAUAUUCAGACACAUAAAACGCGACUAAAAACGCGCCUUCAACUCGCGUUUUUAAAGUCGCGUUUCCUACACAAAUCUUGCAGGACUGAAAACGCGGUUACGUAUGAAAACGCGACUUAAAGUCGCGUUUAUCUGUGUCGCGUUUUCCAGUUUUGCUCAGGCGAGAAAACGCGACUUCCUCCAAAACGCGACUUCAAGUCGCGUUUUAAAGGCGCGUUUUCUGUUCUGUAGGCGCAGAAUUGAAAACGCGAUUCUGAGAAACGCGACUUUUAGUCGCGUUUUAUUGGAAAACGCGUUUUCUGCCUCGAUUUUUAGCAGAAUUUCAACUUUUGAAAAAUUACAAAAGGUACCCCAAUGACUCAAAAUGCAUCAUAGAUCAUUUGUUUGCCAAUUUUAAUGACUGGAACAAAUGUAAAACAUUAAAAACAUGCAUUUUACCCCUUUAUAAUGAAUCAAAAACACCUUUAACGCAAAUCGAGGGGUUGAGUUGCUUGAUCAAAGUUUGCCCUUUUCACCUCAAAUGGUCAUUCUUGCUUCCAUUUGCCAACCCUAUAACACAAAAACAACAAAUUAACUAAAACACUUAUUUAAGUCUAAAAAUCACAAAAAAUUAACACAAAUAACAUAAACAUUGGGUUACCUCCCAAUUAGCGCUUUUGUUUAUAGUCGUUGGCUCGACUGAAAGAGUUGAAUCACUUUAGAGCAUUAGGGAGCGAUUUUCUCCCCAUGGGUCGAAACUCCCGAGCCAAUCUACCAUGUGGUGAACCAUGCAUUGAUCUUCAUAGUCCAAUUUCCUCAAAUACCAAGGAGGAAUAUUAGACUUGUCAUAGAGAGGCUCAACUUCACCUUGGAGUGGAUUUUGCUUGUCUUUUCUGAAUUGGCUCAAAUUUUCACCAUUUCCUUCAUGGAAUGGCGAAUUUAUUAAGCCAACUUCCAUCCUUAUCUUCUCCUCCUUUGUUCCUACACCAUGAAAGUUAGUACCAAGGACAUUUAUAAAUUUAACUUCUUCGGUCCUUUCUUGGUUAACCUUUUCAUCAUAUGGCAUAUUAGAAACAAGAGCAGUAGGCUCUAUACUCCCUUCUUUAUUAUCCAAAUUGAAUUCCAAUUCCUCACCAUUAACCCGUAAUAUAAGCUUACCUUUUUCUACAUCAAUUAUAGUUCGUGCAGUGGCUAAAAACGGUCGUCCUAGAAUAAUUGGCAUUCUCACAUCUUCUUCAAUAUCUAAGACAACAAAAUCCACAUGUAUUAUAGAUUGUCUUACCUUUAUGAGCACAUUUUCCAAAAUACCCAUGGGACGUGUGAUUGACCGAUCCGCCAAUUGCAAUGUAAUAUUGGUAGCUUUUAGCUCUUGAAGUCCCAAUCUCCGGGCAACCGAUAACGGCAUAAGUGACACACUUGCACCUAAAUCACAUAAAGCAUUAGAAAAAUGCAAUUGACCAAUAGUGCAAGGAAUAGAAAAACUUCCCGGAUCUUUCAAUUUAGGAGGGAGUUUAUUCUUAAUCAAUGCAUUACACUCUUCCGUUAAUGCUAUCAUCUCAUUAUCUACAAUUUUCCUCUUCUUUGACAUGAUGUCUUUCAAGAAACGUGCAUAAGAGGGAAUCUGUGUUAUAGCAUCAAUGAAAGGAAUGUUAAUGUGCAAUUGUUUAAACAUUUUGAAGAACUUUUCAAACUCCCGAUCCUGUCCAUCUUUCUUCAACCUGUAAGGAAAAGGUAUCACAUUAGAAUUUAAUUUGGGAUGAAGUGCAUCAAUAUCAAUGAUAACAUGAUCAUUUUGACUUUCUUGCUCCCCUUCAAUUGCUUGCUUCUUGUCUUUUUCACCACCUGAAUUUUCAAAAUCGAAUCUCUCAACCGUUUUACCGCUUCUAAGAAUGAUUGCAUUGACAUGCUCUCUCGGAUUCACUUCGGUUUUACUUGGUAAUUCACCAAGGUUUCUAUUGUUGAUCACAUUGGCAAUUUGACCAAUUUGAACCUCCAAGUUUCUGUACAUCCCAGCUAAUUGGUCCAACCGCCCCUCAACUCGCUCGAAUCUAUCCGAAGUCACCUUAGCAAGUUUUUCCAUUGCGAUCUCCCAACUUGGUUUAGUUUCAGCCUGUGGUUGCCUUGGUUGAAAUCCCGGCGGAUUGGUUGGCCUUUGUUGAUUGCCUUGAUCUUUCCAUCCAAAGUUUGGAUGAUUUCUCCACCCCGGAUUGUAAGUAUUCGAGUAGGGAUUAUUUGGAGCAUUUCGGUUGUAAUUAUUGACAAAUUGUACCUGCUCAGAAUCAACACACUCAUUAAUAUCAUGUUCACCUCCACAGAAAGAGCAACAAGCUACGUGUGCAUUAGAUGAACUUGGACCAACUCCACCUUGUCUACUUAGCAAUUUCAUCACAUUAUUCAUUUGAGUACUCAGCAUAUUGAGAGUGUCCAUUUCUAUCAUACCUGCGUGACGUCUCGUAUUACCUCUUUCAUUGGCCCAUUGGUAGUUAUUUGCUGCCAUUUCUUCUAUCAAAUUAUGAGCCUCUUGGGGUGAUUUACCCAUUAAAGCUCCACCUGCGGCUGCAUCAAUAAUAGUUUUAGUGGAGAAAGAUAAACCAUUAUAAAAGGUUUGUAUAAUCAGCCAUUCGGGUAGUCCAUGGUGUGGACAUUUCCGUAACAAAUCUCUAAACCUUUCCCAUGCUUCAUAUAAUGAUUCUCCUUCCAUUUGACUAAAACCAGUGAUAUCCAUUCUUAGCUUAGCAGUCUUACCAGGUGGAAAAUACUUAUUCAAAAAUGCCCUUGAUAAAUCAUCCCAUGUGGUAAAAGUGUUAGGAGCAUGAGAGUGUAACCACAUUUUUGCCUUAUCUCUUAAUGAAAAUGGGAACAACCGUAACCUUAUAGCAUCAUCACUAACUCCAUUCAUUUUAAUUGUAUCACAUAUUUCUAAGAAUGUAGCUAAGUGUGAGUUAGGAUCUUCUACAGCAUUACCUCCAAAUUGAGAUUGUUGAACCAUUUGGAUAAGUGAUGGCUUAAUCUCAAAGUUGUUAGCAUUUACCGUAGGCCUUACUAUGCUUGUUUGAGAUCCUUGUGUUCCCGGUAGAGCAAAAUCUCGUAGAACUCGCCUAUUUGCUUCAUUUUCAGCCAUUUCUUCUUCAAAUGGUAGUUCUAUCAAGAUUUCCUCUAUAGGUUGCCAAAUCUCUUGUUCCUCUUUCUGUUGUGUGUGCCUCCUUUGUCUACGUAGUGUCCUCUCAAUUUCUGGAUCGAAAGGUGCGACUUCUCGAGACUCCCGGUGCAUACACUACAAACAGAAAUAAGGGAUAUUAUGCAACUUCAAUGGUAAAAACACUGAUUAUAAUAUAAGAUUAAAUAUAAUCUAAAAAAUAAAGCUGUCUAAAUUAAUAAAGAUGAUUAGGCUCUAAUAUUGCCGCUCCACGGCAACGGCGCCAAAAACUUGACGGGUUUUUACUUUAAGUGCAAGUUUAAUUCCGAAUUUACACCCGUUGGACUGCAAGUAUACAGGUCGCAAUUGUAGUACGAGAUGUGUAUCGGGUCGAUCCCACGAGGAGCAAUUUAAAACAAUUAUUAGAUACUAAUUUACUCUAUUAUUUAGACUCACAAUUAAUUUGAGCAGAAACUUCAGAAUUAAAUUCAACUACAAGAGUUCUUAACUAGAAAAUUGCAAUAUCUCAAGGGGAGUAGAAUUCACUAAAUAUUAAGAUCUAGGGAUGUAGAUUCCACUUAUGACACAAAAGAUCUAAAAUGAAUUAAUUCAACACUUGUUACUGCUCUUGUUUAACCAAGGAUUCAUUUCCAGAAAUACCAAAAUCACAUUCUCAUGAUAAUAAUGGGUUAAAACAGAUUAGUUUGUCCUAAUCUCUUGGUAAAUACUAAAUCUGUUCUUAUUCACACAUGAAAUGCAGAUUUCAUCCACUUGAAUGUAUUUCUAUUCUCAUGAAUAUACAACUCAAGUUCUACUUGUGUCAUUCCAUUAUUUUUACCAUUUCUUAAUGAAUAAAAACAACUAUAAACCUGCUAUUGGUGAUCAAGCAACAACAAGUAAUCAAGCAUACACAAGUAGACAAGUUAAUACAACAUAUAAUAAGAAUGAAUAACAAUCAAUUCAUAUCAUUUGGCCAUAAGUUUCAUCUACUCCCUAGAUAAAGAAAAUUAGCUACUCAUGAAUGAUAAAACACUCAUAACUUCAUUAAUGUAAAUCAUCAUGAAUUACAAAUACAAACAGAGUAAAGAAAGUCUUAGCCAAGAUAUGGUGAAACCUUCCAAAAAUCUCCUUUGUCUUGAACUUAGAUGAUUACAAGAUGAAAUCCCAAUUGCCCCUUGCAAGUCCUAGGUAGAGAGAAUAUGUUCUUCUGUAAGAAGCUAAGCUACGAAUGGAUGUCCAGACCUCUCCCUAUAUCUCUGCAUAAAAAAACACUCAAAGGCUUAUUUUUCCAAGUCAAAUUCCAACUUUUGAUUCCCCAAAUCUAACUUUGUUAUAAUUGUCAAUAACCAAUGUUUUUGACUUGAAAAUAAGCCACCUUUCUUGCCCUUUUGUCUUCUGAAGCAUGUGCACCGAAUUCCCUUGCAUCUUAUAGCUGGAAAGUGGUAUGAACACAAGAGAAUUGGCUGAGUCAAAUUGCAGAAUUUCGGCUAUAAAACGCGCCUACACAAAAUGCGUCAAAAACUCGCGUUUUAUCUACUCGCGUUUUCACUCUGGCCUUAUUUCAACUGCGAUUUUCUCAUUGAUAAAGGCCAAACUAGCUUUUGUACAAAACAUAAAAGUUGUAGCCCUUUGAGUUAGCUUUCCAAUUCUUCAAGAAUCAUCCAAAUCUGAGCUUUGUAGCCUGAGAUAUGAUCGAAAUACUGUCACCUGUUCAAACCUCUGUUUUAACUUCCGACCACAGAAUGCAGCUUCUGUAUUCCAACGUUUUGCCCAUGAAGAUGGCAAAAAUGGAUUUCGAUGUCUUCAUACGAAUUGUAGGUCUCUUUCUUAGCUUUAAAAUGGUAUACAGAUCACCUCAAUCCGAUAAGUGUAGCUCCAGAUAUGAUCAAAAUACUGAAGAGUGUCAAAACUGACUUGUAUUGCAUUUCCUCACUUGAACGUUUUUCACUUCAUUCUUCUUGUUGCCACUUGAAUUCAUCACCAAAUCUCUAUUUUUUACCUCAUUUGACAUCCUUUGGUGAUUGAAUCAUCAUUCCUGCAUAAAAAUGAAGUUUUACCAUUAAAAUCAAUAGAAAUGCAAUAUUAUCCACUUUUACCAAAAAUAUAUAAUUUUACCAAAAACCUCUUUAUUUUAUUUAUAAAACUAAAUAAUCAACUCAAAAUUAACUAAUAAAAUGCACUUAAAAAUACGUAAAAUAAACUCUUAUCAAUUGCAACACUUAAGGUAAAUUUGAUAGUAGUUUGGAUUGUAAAUUAUUUGAGAUAAUUUUGUAAAAAAAGUACUGUAACACUUUUUUGAUAUGAUGUAUGCGAGAUAAAAAAAUGAUUGAAAAAUGUGUUGAUGAUGUAAGCAAGUUAGUAUUUGUAAAUAAGGUAUAAAUAAUGUAUAAUAAUUUACAAUCCAAACACAACAUACUUGAACAUAGAAUUUGGUGCAAUUAAAUACUAUCCUAAUAAGGAAAAGUUUUGAGCCAUGUAGCAAAUCUUGACCCUGGUUGACACAUUGGAUAUUUUGCCUAGUUUUUCUCUUACAAGUUUUUUAAUAAUUUUAAUUAUAGUAAUCUCAAAAAACUCUUCAAAAUUUUUAAAUUACCUUUCAAAAUACCCAAAAACACAAAAAAAAAAAUUUUUCCUUCCUAUUUCCUUCUUUUUCCUCCCCCACCUCGACCUACCAUUACCUCCGCCGCCGACAAAACCGGUUGACGCUAGCCAUCUCUUUUUUUUUUUCCUCUUCUCCUCCUCCCUCUUCUCCGUCCUUCUCUCCUCUCCUCCCUUGUCCUCCUCUCUCCAGCCACCUUUCUCUCCCCUCUCCUUCCCUCUUUACUCGAUGUGGUCUCAUGACCAGAUCGUGCAAGGGAGAGGAAUAGGGAGAGGGAGAAGAGGAGAGAGAGAGAGAGAGAAAAAAAAGCAAAAAAAAAAACUUGCUACCGUUGUCGGUGUCGAUGCUGAUAGGCGGCAGCAACUUGAGGCAAUCGUGAGGUGAGGGAGAAGAAGAAAAGAGCAAAGAAAAGGAAAGCAAAAGAAAGAAAAAGAAAAGGAAAAAGAAAAGGAAAGGGAAAAAGAAAAGAAACAAAAGUUUUCCAUCUUAAAAAUUUUUUCUACAAAUUCUACAGUAAGUUACAGUGAAAUUUUAGGUAAAUACCCAAAAAACUCAUUUACCAAACGGUGCUCUUAUUAAAGACAAGUUUAAGAAUGUAAUUUAGCCAAGUUAUUUGACUUGAAUUCGGGAGUAGCUUUGCAGCUAUUCUUCUUCAAUUGCAUUGAAUAUUUCAUUGACAUUUGCAAUUCAAUUAUACAUAUAUAUAUAUAUAUAUAUGUAUGUAUAUGUAUGUAUGUAUGUAUGUAUAUGUAUGCAUUGAAUAUUUCAUUGACAUUUGCAAUUCAAUUAUACAUAUAUAUAUAUAUAUAUAUAUGUAUGUAUAUGUAUGUAUGUAUGUAUGUAUGUAUAGACAUUGUUAAAGAAAAAUAGCAAAUUUAGAGAAAGAAAAACAAGUUUAGAAAAUUUAAAUAUGAGGGUAUUAUUGACAAUUCAUCACGUUUGAUAUUAGUAUAUGGCCCUACUAUCACUUCAAGGGUGCUAAGUGAGAUUUUAAAAAGUUUAGGGGAGCUAAAUGAUAUUUCAUGAAACCUCAAGGGAGGUUUCUGAAAUUAUCCCUAUUACAUUUAAUAUUGAUUGAAUAGUUGCACAGCAUUUUGAAUCUUACUCCCACUUUAUGAACUUUUGAAAAGUCCCCCACCAUUUUUGAAUAUUGGUUCUUCCGGUUUCCAUCUCCUAAAUUCUCCCAAAUAUUUAAGAUGAUGGGCAAUACUUCUUUUAAGGGGUAUUUUAUUUCUUCAGUUAUAUUUUUUCAGCUGGAAAAUUCAAUGUCGGGAUAAUAUCUCGCAUUUAUCAAGGUGUAUUUUCAUAAUUUUCCGGUAGAUAAUUGUUAGUUUACUAGGCAAGCUCUUGUUGCAGGGAUGACUUUAGCAAUUCAGCCCUGAUGAUGGCUUUUAUGCUAUCUAAUUGCUCUAGUUUUUUUCUGCCCUCCGCUAGUAGUCUAAGGGGCAAUCAAUUCCUUUUGACAAGGGAAUUACAGUUAAAAGUUCAUUUUAUUGCUCAAUUGGCAAGAUUUGUCUGGUGAGUUCGUGUUUGAAUUUUUUAAGAAAUGUUACGUGAAUAUUCGUAGUCGCAAUAGGUAUAGUUUAUCGGAGUUAUAUGCCUUGAUUUUUUGGUGUUCUUAAACUCCUAAUUAAGUUGGUGUUCACAAGGAUAAUUAAAUCACCACACGAAUUAAUGGGUUGCAAAGGCAUUGCGGCUUUUUACUAGAAAGCAAGGAAAAAAAGAUUUUUUCCCAUUGGGGAAUAUUGUCGAACACCUGGCGUGUGUCAGAGGCCAGUCAAAAGAAAGAAAACUAGAACUAAACUAAAAAGCUAAAACUAAAGCCCGUCCUUUGCUUCUGUACGUUGUCCCCUUUUAAAGAAACAAAAGAAAGAAGACUAAAAGCUAUCUAGAUGGUCCCCACACAUGUGGACAAAGCCUCCAAAGUACUUCUUGUUCCAAGUCUCUUUACGUUGCUUACUUUGAAGAGUCCAAAUGACUAAAUGCCUUUCACUAGCUUGUGGUCCCCACUAAUUCAAGGGCCAAGGGUUGAAGCCCUUAGAAGUCUCCAUUUUCUCCAUAAAGUCUCUCCUUUUUGGUAGUUUUCUGUUUCAUCCCUGAAAUUAAGUCCAAAUACCAAAUAUAAGUAGAUAUCAACAAUUAAUAUAAUAUUUGGCAGGGAUAAAAAGGGAAAUUAAUACUAAAAUUACUAACAGAUGAUUCCCUAUCAGUGUUCACAAGGAUAAUGAUGGUAUUCAUGAAAAAAUAUUUUAAGAUAUUAGUGCGAGCAAUUUUGAAUAUGGUAUUUACAUGUUAAAUUUUACGGAUGAUUGAGGCCUCAAUAAUGGAUCCCUUGAAGACCUAUGCUACGUGUCUAUUUUUUUUUUUAAAAAUGUUUAGAAGUGGCUUUGAAACAAUCUACAGUAGAGUUGCUGUAUUGCAACUAGAGAAAUCAUUAAUUCUAUUCUAUACAAAUAAAGUGUGAAUAAAUUCACACAAAAAAGUGUGGAAUGCUUUAGGGUAUUGUUUUUAUGUACUGUCAAUGUAUACUCAUACGAUAUUUUUUACGCAUUGUCAAUGUUCAACAUGGACACAUGUACAAAUUUUUGUUUCUGUAAAUACUACAAUAGCUAGUGCCUCUUCAAAAAAAAAAAAAAAAGAAACGGAGAAAGGCUUGAAAUUCUUUUCUAGGUUGUGUGUUCUUUGAUUUUAUAAAUCAAAAAAAAAAAAAAAAGUACAACGUCCAACCUAACAUCCAUGUGCCUUGUACUCUUUCUUUUGUACCUAAAUUAAUUCCAUCCUGUUGUCCUCAAAGGAAAUACGUGGUUAGAAUUUCAUUUGGGUAAAUAGCAAAACAAAUAAUGCAUUUUUCUAAUGGGUUAUUGCUUAAUAUCUGGCUUGUGGCGCCUGCUGCCUUCCUUAUAGUUGUUUAUCCACAAAUUUUGUCAACCCAAAAUGAAGGGAGCAAUGUCAAUUCUCUUCCUUCUCAGCCAUCUCUUAGUUAUUUCUAGAUUCGUGAAUGUUGUAUCAAAUGGGAAGACAAAAAAAAAGUAAACGGAAUUAUUUAGUCAAUAGCUAUUCUUUAAUUUGAAAUGACGUGUGUUAAUGAUAGAAGAUUAAGAAAAAAAAAUGUUAUCAUUAGCCUGUGGACUGGGCAAAUGGCCUAAGGCAUUAUAGUAUUUGGGUUGGUAUCUUGCCAGUGUUUGCAUCAUUUUAAUAAUCUUAUAGUCUUUUCUCUUCUUCUUGGAAGCAACUGGAUUAAUAAACUAAUCUUCUACAUUGUUUGCUCCUAGUUAUCUUCAGUCGCGAUAUUGAGCAAUACCAUUACAAUUGAUUGGAUGUAAGUCAAUCUUCAAUUGCAGUUCACUGAAUAAAAUGUAGAGAAUUACCCUUUGUAGUUUAUAGAUGAUGAAAGACAAAUUUCAUGAUGAAGUGCUAUACACACUGAGCCUAUACACUGAUUUUGUGCAAAGAUAGUGAUUCUUCCUUAUGUGUAUUUGUAUGUUGUACUUGGGAGAGAAUCAAUUUUGUGGGAAUGCAUUUUUUCACUAGGAAUGCAUUUUCAAGGCAGGCUGGGGAUUUUUUUCCUUUUUUUUUUUUUAAUGUAAAGUUCUUGAAGGACACAGGUUCGGGUUGAAUACAUUAAGCAAGACUUUGUUUGAACGUGUAUGGAACUGCUAAUUGGUAAUGCACAACAAAUUGUCCAUGGAAACUCUCUCUUGCUUGCAAUCAUAAGUCAGGUAAAUUGCCCAACUGGAGCCAUCAUGGGUACAUCCUUGGAAAAAUGAUAAAAUGUGAUAAAAGCAUACACCAGUCUAUCUCUUUCCUUUUUCAUCCACAAUCGCAAAAUCAUUCAACUAUGCUAGUGUUUGUACUUUAGCAUCCACUCCUACAUGUCCCUUACCAGUACAAGUUGGAUCAGUUAGUAAUAUCGUGCCACCUCCUUAUAAAAAAUCGUAUGUUUGAAUUCUGCUAUCUAUAUGAUGAUCGUAUUGGUGAGCAAUGUGUAAGAACUCCUAUAAAUGACUUAUAAUCUGGUAGACUUACCCCUAUCCAUGGCCAUGUUCACCAUUCAAAUUUUUUAUUAUUAAAAAAAAAAUCUUACAUGCCGCAUGUUCCAGUUGGUUAUACACGCAGGAUGCACUGAACAUCCAUAUGUAUGUAUACCAAAAAAAUAUACCUCUCGUAAGUGUAGGCUAACUUCUACUUAUAUAUAUAUAAUUAUAUAAUUAUAUAUAUAGAUUAAAAUACAUAAAUUAAUGUAUACUUAGGGUCCGUUUGUUUCGGGUGAAAAUGUUUUUCAGGAAAAUAUUUUCCUAAUUUCUCGUGUUUGGUUGCACAAAAGUUACUGAAAACAUUUUCCUAUGUAAAAUAUUUUCACUCAUCUUAUGGAAAACAACUUCCCUUCCAAACUUACUGAAGUUGUUUUCCGAAAUGCAUACAUCCCGCUUGUAGUAUGUUCCAAACUUAUUGAAAACAUCUUGUAGUAUGUUCUUUUUUUUUUUUUUUAGUGUAAACAGGAGGACUCGAACCCAAGACCUCUUUCUUACACUCCCUCCCCCGUACCACCCAACCCUCCCCCUAGUAUAUUCAAAAUAAAAAAAAACCUCAUCCUGCUCAUCCUAUGCUAGUAAUUAAUUAUGUAUAAUAGGGACAUUCUUUUCUAGAGAAACUUUCAGCAGUGAAAGUGCAAGAUAUAUGUCACAAUAAGCAUUGCAUGUGAUUGAUAUUUGACACUAAAUGGCCAACAAUUUGUUUAUUGCUUAAGGAGAUAUUUUUUAUUCAUAUAUACAUUUCCCCAAGAUUUUUUAAAGUUAAACAAUGAGAUAAAUUUUCUUAUUUUGCAUGGGAAGAAGUAUGUAGUUAUAAUGUGUAGAAAGUAAAGAUAGAGAUAAAAGUGAAAAUAUUUCAAAAGUUAAACAAACACCAGAAAAAUGAAGUAAGAAAAUAUUUUCAAUAAGCUAACCAAACACCUGAAAAUGAUGAAAGGGAAAUGAUUUUCAUGAAAAAUUACUUCCACGGAAAAUAUUUUCCCAAGGAAAACAUUUUACUUUCAACCAAACAGACCCUUAGUGCAAUCAUUUUUGCUUAGUAAUUCCCUCAUAUGUCCUUUCCCUAAUACUAGUUUUAGUGUUGUUUUUAUUACUCUGAAAAUAAUUAGUAGUAUAUUUAUUGACAAAGAUGUACAUUAAAUGUGAGCACGGCAAUGUAGGACAAUCACAGAAGAAAAAUGAACAUUAUUUUAGGAUAGAAGGAAUAACUAUUUACUGCUUUAGUAUUAUAAUAAUUCCCUCAGUUCCAUUUUAAUAGUCUUGUUUUUCAUUUUUAUCUAUCCCAAAUUAUAAUUCACUUUCUAAUUGAAAAAUAUAAUUAAUUUUUAAUUUCUUUAAAUACUCUUAUUCAACUUAUUUUGUUAUCAGUGAGCCUAACCUAUCCUAUUCAAUAAUUGCUCCAAUCGGGUCUCAGACGGAAUGGAAGAUACAACAAUCAUGAAGAUAAAAUAUUUCUUGAUACAUUUUUUAACAGGAUACCGUAUAUAUUUUAUAAAAAAUAGUUUCUACUGAGAACCAUAUACGUUUCUACUGAACGAUAUUAUAUAUUCUUCAAAAUUAUGAUUUUCCUAUUUUUGUAGCCUGAGACCACCAAAUAAGCGUGCCCGGCCCCAAAGAGGAAUGGGGAGAGGUAGGGUUUGGUUUAGACCCAUUAUUAUAUACCUUUGAGGUUUAUGUUAGCUAAUUGCUGUCCUCCUAGACAGUAGUCCAUCGUACAAACAAUUCGUUUUGACAAGAGAAUCACAGUUAAAAGUCCACCAUAUUUCUCAAUUGGUAGGAUAAUUUGUCUGGUGAGUUUGUGCAUGGACCUUUAGCAAAUGUGACCUGGAGUUUUACGAAGAAUUGUUACCUUAUUAUUGUCUGGGGCUUUGGGUGCCCGCAAACUUCUAAUUGAGUUGGCAUUGGCAAGGAUAAUGAUGGUAUUGAUGAAAAAAAUAGUUCGUGAUAUUAAUAUAAUAUGAACAGCAAGUAUUAUGAAACAUUUACUGCUUUAGCAUCUAGACUUGGCAUCGUUUACUUGGAAACGCACUUCGGCCGAAAGUAGACAAAAGCUGACCCCUUUAGGCCCCAGGAAAGGGCCCCUAAUGUAUCCACAGGCCAGGCCAGGAAAAUUAAGUGUCUUGCCGACGACAUUUGACCAUUUUCAUAUCAUGAGAAAGUUGUAAACCUUGAACUAAUGUUUAUACAAAUUUGAUCUCAGAGUGAAUAGAACAUACUACAAUAAUGGAGAUAUCCUGCAGCAGCAGCACUAAUUGCUUCGAGUUCGCUCUAGAAUAUCUUCGCCGCUUGGAUGAUACCGGCACAGGGUACAUUUAUCUUGUCUGGAAUCUGAAGAUCGGACUGAGACUAUUACAAAGCUUUGAUCGGUAUCUGACACUGUGGAGGAGGGGGAACCAUGAAACCUGUUUGGAACAAGAUGAGGAGGAGAAGGAUGUUACGUCUUCCAGAAUUCAAGAUCUGAUUAUCAAGAGAAUGCAAGAUCUUGAAUUUGUUUGCAGCGAAUGCUCGGAUCAUUCGACUCGUGUUGGAAGUGAGCUCAUCAUAUUCCUGAAGGCAAUCAAGUUGUUUUUCGAAACAGUUAUCAACGAAUCGUGCAUCAACUAUCUGCUGGACUGUUACUGGCUGCCAGAUCCAGAGCUCGUUAUUGAUUUCAUCGAUUCUGUUUCCGAGAUUCUGGAGGAAAUUAAAGAAUCCCAUUUCAAACGCCUUGACGAGCGGCUAAUGUUCUUGAAGAGUUUCAUUCGCUUUGCUAUGCUUCGCGGUGUCGAGGGUCAGCAAUUGAUAGGUCUCUUGAUUCAUACUGAAGAGGUGUCUAUGAAGGCAUUUCGCCUGGCUUCUAUAUCGUGGUCUGACUGUUUCAGAUAUAUAGUGCGGCGUGACUGUUCCGGACAUAAUCCUCCUCCUGAAGUAAAACCUCAAAUUUCACGGCUAAUAAGUGAGAAGAUUAAUCCCACUGAGCCCCAAGUGCUAGAAACUUACAUCCAUGUCUUGACUGCUUCAAAGUUAUCAAUAUCAUCAGACACUUCAGCUCUGGAGAAGAGUAAGCAAACAGUAGCUGACUUUAUGGAUCGUCUCGUUCAGACUACUAUGGAGCUACUGCAACCUUGUACUAGUACUCCAGUCCCGAUUAUGGAUCAAAUGCUCGAAAUUGUUGAGGGGCUAAGACUCCUGACAAUCCUUCUCAGGCAUCAGGAGAAGUUCAAAGAGCUAUGCCAUGAAAUGAAG